AGGAUUAGGCCGAUGGAAACACCUGGCCACCAAAACCAAACAUGGCACCAUGGUCGUUAUCUUAUGGCAUACAGAAAAAGGUCAACAAUUUGUUAUCUUUUCUACCCGCAAAUCAUUUACCAGCAUUGAGACCUCUGAUCUAGCAGAAUGCUAGACGAAAUGAAUAUUAAUUGCCGGCAGAAUGAACAUGUGCUACUGGUGGUCCUUGAUUGUAACUCCACGAAACUUAAAGACAAUAUUAUGGUGCUUCAGUCAUUUGAUAGUAAUAUUCCUAAAAAUUGGUUGGAGAUGUUCUAGCAAAUUCCAUUUUAGCAUCGUCGGAAGCUCAUUUGGAGGCAGUGGUGUGCUCCUUCUUACAAAUCAUGCACAGUUCAUCCUUCAGAAAUUGACCUAUACCCAUUAUUAACAGCAUGUCAUCAUCCAUGAUUCAAAUUAAAGAUCCUCAAGAACCAGGAUACAAGCUAUCAAAAGUUCUUUCUAAAUUUCCUGAAAGAAAAUGGUCCUUCUGCACAUGGUACAAUGUAGACAGAAAAUAUAGUUUUGCUGAAAAUUUGAACUGUAAGCACAUGUAGAUAUGGGAUCAGGUUUCAAUAAGUAAAAACAGAACUACUUACCCUGUUCAGACCAUGAUGGUGAAGAAUGAUGUUCACAUACAUCUAUUAAACUGAAAAUUUUCACUCCUAUACUCCACCCUCAGUAGCAUUAAGAUUCCAUCAUCAUUUCUUAAAUUUCCAAGGAAGCAUUUAAAAAGUGAAGUCCAAUGAUAAAGUCUCAAUGAUCAGGUUUCUUUAAAUUCUCAAAGAAGCAUUCAUUCAUGACUAAAAAUUAUAGAAGUAUUGUGAUCAUUCUUAAAUAUUCCAUAGAGUAAAUCAUGGCUUCCUCCAGAAAGACACCAAAAUUUACAGCAUGCAUAAUUGGCAUAUAACAUUUCCGACCAGAACUAUUCUGGGAAUGCUACAAAUUCAAACACUUCCUAUUAGACAGAAAUUACUGGAGGAAAUCAUUGAAAUUUGUCAACAAGGGCCGGGCAACAAAAGUUAUUACAUUUGUUGGACCGUCUAGUGCAAAUUUUGUGAAGCUACACGAAUCUCCUGGACCGGAUACCUGACAGAAUCCGGAUCUAAAUUCAACAUUAGGAAUUGGGCAACAAAACUCAAACGACAGAAGUUAGGAACUGGACAAAGUUUCCAAUGCACGUUUGAGAUCAGAAAAAUUGUGGGAAACCGAAUUGCCAUGGAAUUUUGGAUGGAAAUUUAUCAAGAACACAUGAUGAAUUAGGCAUAAGAAUUAGGAAGAACAUAUCAGAUGAAUAGUAAUAUGAACCAUUUGAAAAUCUCGUCCAUCAAUCACACGAACAAAUCUCACGAAGAACAGACUACAAAAUCUCGUAGAUUAAUGGCUUGCCCAUAUCUCCAACUUCACAAGAUUCCAAGGCAGGCAGCAGCUCAGGAGCAAAGGAUCUAGUGCCUGGCUUGAUGCAUGAAUCGAUGGAAGAAAUCUAGUGUUGGGUGGACACAGUGCUGCGUGAGCUGCUAGGAACCCACGGGGCCAGGAGCUGACCAGUCGAGCGCGGGGGUCAAGUUGGUGCGCGUUUUGGGGCUGCAGAGGAGGCAGGCGGCCUCGUCGUCUGGAUCGCCGCAACCCAUCGCCCAGACGAACCAGAUCUUGAAGAUGGCGGACGGCAACCUGCUGCGGCGGCACUGGAGGAAGCCGAAGACGACGACACCGAGCCGCGAGGGUCAUGCAUGCUGACGACCCGCUGGAUCUGUGUCCGCCGCGCACAACUAACCCGCUGAGGAGGCGCCCUACGGCCUGCUGAGGACCAGUAGGCACGAAGGCGGAUGGCAGCGGAUCGUAUGCGGGGUCGCAGGUGGAGGCUCGCGGGCGAGGCAAGCUAAGGCGCGGCAGAGGAGGGCCGCGGGGGGAGGCGGCGGCUGCGGCCUCAGUGGAAGGGAAGGAAGAUGGGGGUGGGCGUGCGAGUCAGGGCAGAGGUAGGAGGCGGCGGAGAAUAGAAAGUGAAAAACGGUUCGGGAGGCUGAAAGAUUCUCUUGCGGGGUGGAAUUUCAGCCUCAAUAGGUAAUCACUAAGCGCACACGGUUAGCAAGUAAUUCGUGGUUAGUGAGUCUGAUUGCGGGGCUAUUAGUACUCCGUAUACGUUUAGUGGGCGUUGGGAUGAAUAUGUUGGUGUCUUUAUAAGUAGUAGAGAUGAUGCAUUUCGUAGGCAAACGGAUGAAGUCUAUCAUGGACUAACCCAGUACUGAGUACGUUAGUGUUCCAGCUUACAACAGAAGAUGUUCAAAAAGGUUUUUCGUUGGUGCUCAUUACUUCUACGUUGUGGUAGUUAAUUGUUCGUAAUGUUCUGACAUACGUGUGUUCUGCUGACGUUGUGACACAGGCACGGUAUUGGAAUCAGAGCCGCACCGGAAAGAUCCACUUGCACGCCUUAAACAGAGGCUGUCGUUUGACGGCAAAGGUAUAGGUUGACACAUGAUGCAGCAUAUUCCGGAUUGUGUCGAUUGAAAUCUGAUGGACAUAACCAUUGUUCUUAUGUAAUCAUUUUUGUUAUGCAGAUAAAUGUCAUGGGCCGUCUGUCAACUUGGCAGAUCAUAAGGUUGUAGUGGACUCUGCCAGCAACGGCAAUCAAGCGGUGGACUUUGAACUCUUCAACUUGUCCCCUUUAGGAACCGCUGAAGUUCCAAGUAUCAACGAAAUAAUAGACGUGGAACAGAUAGAGGACGACAGCAGGGACAUGCAUGUUAUGAACAGCGCACAGAACCGGUGAUAACAAACCCGCCAAAAAGCGUCCAUUUAGUGGGCGAGGCCGUCGAAGGUACGUGUCAGACUAUAAGAGACAUAACAGCAUAGGACGUAAUCUGACACCACGCAUUUUUGUUUUGCAUUAUAUGUUUUGGCUAAUUAUAACUAUCGGACCAAUGAACGGCAGUACCUAAUGUUGAUCCACCGACAAUAUAUACUAUGGUGUCCAUGGCAGCACAAGGACGGGUCCAUCUCGAGGCAUAUCUUCCACAAGCUGACCUGGAAGCGUUCUUUCGUCAGCAACAGUUGAAUGAACUUCAGUCCCAAGGCAAGACCUAUAAAUCACAGCACACAACGCGUAAAUGAACAUAAGCUAAAAAACAGUUUAACUCUAAGCUCCUAUUUUCAUCUCACGUUGUUCUGAAUGACAGCAUCGAGAGUAAUGGAGCACAGUGAAGGGCAAGGGAAUGCAAAUAUGGUCGCCCAGGCAAUUCAAAACAAUAUGGAGUUCCACAUAAACUCAUCUGUCCCCAUAAAUACCAUUAGCCUCAAGACACUAUGCCCAAAGCUAGCUACAAAGAAGUUCUUUAAUGCGCUGAGGAGUGACGAAAAUCCAAUUUCUCUGUCCAGGUAUGCGUGCGAAACAAAACAACUUUUGUUUGUUCUUUGGUUGACUAUGAACCGUGACAGUAACCAAAAUAGUUGUACAAUAUUGUAGUACAUUCGUGGCUAUUGAUAAACCCGAGAUUGCCAUACUCCCUGGUAUCCGGAUGAAGCUGGAAAUGACCAAGAUGGCAGAGCUUAGCAAGGAAACCUUCUCAUUAAUAGCCAGGUUGUACAAUGAGAUUGAAGGGACCUCCACAUACCGAGAGGAGAAUCCGAGCUGGAAAGGAACAUACUACUUCCCUCCAACAUUUGCGUUUAGUUAUGUAUAAACCAUCCAACAUAUUAACUAGUAUUUUAAAUUUAUAUAAGGGAAUACUUAUUGGCUUUUCGAAAGAAAACAUAAUGGUGCUGUAAUGACUGAUAUGAAGUGAUAACACAACCAACAAACCUGCUGACAGAUGUACUGCCUUGUAGGAAAUCAUAAUGGAAGAGGAUGGUUGUCCACCGCCGUACCGUGUAAUUGACAUGUUCACCAUGGGCACUAGGUGCAAUGACCCUUCCAGAUGCUCCAGGGUAAUGUAUUUUUCCCCGCAUCGUAUACCUAACAAACAACCGCAGACCUUCCAUCAUACGAUGCAAUUAACUGUACUUCACAAUGCAGUUUGUUGUACCCUUUUUCGUCAAUGAGACGGAUGUGUGGGCUACAUACGUGUACGACAUAGAGGAUAAAGUUGCAUACAUGGUGGAUCCAACACUUACUGAAGCUAGGACAACUGAUGAGUUGCAUACUGAGGAUGCGAAAAAUAUUCUGGAGGGUAUACACUAUUGCCUGUGGAACAUACUGAAAAAACCCAAGUGGGAUGUGGAUGCAAGUUGGGAGUACCGCGGUGUAGACCAUGGCCAAAAACAGUUUGCACUGUAAGUUGUUCAUGCAUGAUCAAUAAUAUCUAGCUGAUUUUGUUAUAGAGGAAUGUCCAUUCUACAUAACCACCAGUUACAAAAUCAUAAAUUCGUUUGUAUUUUCUUACGUUGUGCUUAUGCAAAAUAGUGGGCUCCACAGACUUGAGUGCGCGUAUGCUAUGUGGCACAUGAGGAGUGGUGGCGUGAAACGACACACAAACAAGGUAAUCGUCACUACCCGCUAGACUGUAUAUAACAUUUAUCUCUCAAGUUGUAAGGAAACAAUGAUCGAGGUGUGUUUUCCCCAUUUACGCAGGCUCUCCUUGGUUUUACAAAAGUCCCUCGCAUACAUGCUCACCAGGAUGGAUUGCAAUGUGCAGCAUGAGCAUGGGCCCCCGCCGUACGCGUAAUCUGUUCGUGUGUGAGGGGACCGCCACCUCCGAUCUGCUAAUAAACCAUCCAAUCUAGCCUAUGUUCGGGUGUGACCACAAUAAUCUAGCGAUCGAGUGAUCGUUAUGCUCAUUUUCAAUCAGACCGUAGGUGCUUGAUGUGUGUGUGUGUUGCAGACAGUUUAUUGGUGAGUCAGGUCAAUAAACGUAUGUCGUUGGGUUAUAACCGUCGAGUUGAGACUAGUGUGUUAUAAAGACUUAAUCUAAAAUAAAUUACUAGAUUGAAUCUAUUUGCAUUAAAAAAACCGAUCAAAAAAGGGCGAGCGAAGCAAGUGAUCAAAAACUUUGUUCGUCCUAUCUAUAAGAGGAGAGCAUAUGAAAAAUGUAACCCAUUCUUUCGGGUUUUUUAGCUCACUGGCCAUCCCCUGGCAGUUUCGGGCUUAAUACUGAUAUUUUAGCAACAAAUCUAAUAAAUCUAACUGUAGUGGUUGGUGUUUUGAUUUUUUUUGGAAAGGGAGUGUGUGCGAGUUGUCUAUUUCAAGAAUAGGUCGGAUCUAUCCGACUGCACUUUAGAAUAUUUCGUAGUAUUUUCGGAUAAAUAAGGGUGCGCAAUCACGACGAAUUACUUCUGAAUAAAUUCAGAAAUCAUAUGGAAGAACCAUAGCAUUUCGCGACUCGUUGGUAAAUCAACUUUGAUUCUCUAUAAACCAAUAAUGUGAGACUAUUAACACGGUUAAAGCUAAACUGCUUGAAGUCUAGGCAAAAAGGGGUACUCUUUCUACACCUAUAUUAGUAUUAGUACCAAAAUGCUUUAAACAGGAAAUAGCUAAUGUAGAAUUUAUCUGAUAUAGAACACUCAUAUCGAUAAAAUGGUUUGAACUAUUUACUAGAAAAAAAGAGGCACCCUCCCCUUUUUUAUCGAAUGCCGAAUCGACAACCUAUGUAUAAAAUAAAAAAAGAGAAAUUUUUUGGAUUUGAAGAAAAAAAAGACUUCGAUUCAUUUUCUAUUUAUUUCGUUAGUUUUUCUUAAUGAAAUUGAAAUUAUUAAGUAAAGUGCAAAUACAAAUAAAGAAACAACUUUGCUGACCAUGAUAGAUUUUUAUCUAGGCGGAAGAGUCCUCUUAAUAUUUAUCUAAUCUUAUAUAGGUUUCAGUAUAUUGAAAUAGAAAGAUAAAAUAGAAGAGAGAGGAUAGGCUCAUUACUUAAAAAAAAGAUAUGGAAAUAGCCAUAGCAAAAAAAAAAGGAGCGUGAGAGCCAAAUGAAUCGAAAGAUUCAUGUUUGGUUCGGGAAGAGAUCAUAAAAGUUGUAAACUUAAUAGCAAGAUAAUCUACUUUCAUUAAAAGAUUUAUUAGAUAAUCAAAAACAGAGGAUCUUGAGUACUAUUCGAAAUUCGGAAGAAUUGCGUAGAGGGACCUUUGAGCAGCUCGAAAAAGCUCGGAUUCGAUUACAGAAAGUCGAACUAGAAGCGGAUGAGUAUCGAAUGAAUGGAUACUCUGAGAUAGAACGUGAAAAAGAAAAUUUGAUUAAUGCUACUUCUAUUAGUUUGGAACAAUUAGAAAAGUCUAAAAGCGAAACCCUUUAUUUUGAAAAACAAAGGGCAAUGAAUCAGGUCCGACAACGGGUUUUCCAGCAGGCCGUACAAGGAGCUCUAGGAACUCUGAAUAGUUGUUUGAAUACCGAGUUACAUUUCCGUACGAUUCGUGCUAAUAUUGGCAUUCUCGGGUCCAUGGAAUGGAAGAGAUAAUGAAAUUAAUAAGGCCUUGAGCUUCUACUUUCGUUUAGAAUUUAGGCAUUAUUUUUCCCCUUAGCUUUCGAAAAAAAAGAGUCAAGAAACACUAAUGGCAACUCUUCGAGUCGACGAAAUUCAUAAAAUUCUCCGUGAACGUAUUGAACAAUAUAAUAGGAAAAUAGGGAUUGAGAAUAUAGGUCGUGUAGUUCAAGUGGGGGAGGGGGUUGUUCGUAUUAUAGGUCUUGGUGAAAUAAUGUCAGGUGAAUUAGUCGAAUUUGCAGAAGGCACUAGGGGUAUUGCUCUUAACUUGGAAUCCAAAAAGGUUGGGAUUGUAUUAAUGGGCAAUGGGUUGAUGAUACAAGAGGGAAGUUUUGUAAAAGCAACAGGAAGAAUUGCUCAGAUACCCGUGAGCGAGGCUUAUUUGGGUCGUGUUAUAAAUGCUCUGGCUAAACCUAUAGAUGGGAGAGGUGAAAUUAUAGCUUCGGAAUCUCACUUAAUUGAAUCCCCUGCUCCAAGUAUAAUUUCCAGGCGUUCCGUAUAUGAACCCCUUCAAACAGGGCUUAUUGCUAUCGAUUCGAUGAUCCCUAUAGGGCGCGGUCAGCGAGAGUUAGUUAUUAGGGACAGACAGACUGGCAAAACAGCAGUAGCCACAGAUACAAUUCUCAAUCAAAAAGGGCAAGAUGUAAUAUGUGUUUAUGUAGCUAUUGGUCAAAGAGCAUCCUCCGUGGCUCAAGUAGUAACUACUUUCCAUGAGGAGGGAGCCAUGGAAUACACUAUUGUAGUUGCUGAAAUGGCGGAUUCACCUGCUACUUUGUUUGUGGGAUACCUGCAUUUCUCGAUAUAGAUGGUGCAAACCGUCAUUUCUUUGACGCUGCUACUAAAAAAAUCAAGAGUGAGGAAAAAAAAUCACUGCCUAUGAUUGUGUGUCUUGCAAAAUUAUGUUGGCUAGGCUACAGUAUGAAACAAUCAUGGGUUCAAGUCUGCAUAAGAUAUGUUGGCUGGCAGAUAUCAAUCAAUCGCGAGACAUACACGCUGUUUUUUAUGUCUUCAACCGGGCGGUCUAUGUCAGUCGAUAUUUCGACGAAUUUUCAGAUGCCAUGGUGCCCCAUCGGUGAUGCUGGAACCACGAAGGAACCGGGUAUGCACAAACAUAAAGACAAACAUUCAGCUGAAAUUUGUGUAGGUAUGAUUAUUUCUGAAACAAUCAGGUGGGAGUUACGCUUACAAAGUACUUUCUCCGAUGAGAUUUUACAUUUGAAAUUGUCAAGACGUUCGCUCACAGAUCUUGUGUCCAUAUUCUUGGGAAGUGCUCUGGUGCAUUUAGGGGAUCAUAUUGAGUUUGUCCUUGUCCAGUCACGACACAACGUCGCAACACCCUGCAUAGCCGAUCACUUUUUCCAAACGGGAAAGGUAAGUCUACCUGUUUUGGCACUCUAAUGGUGGUAAAAAAAAACCUGUAACAAACUGAAUUGUGGUUCAAUACAAAGAAGCACGCCAACUCGUAGAGGAAUACCACACAUGAUACAUUACUAAACAUGGCCAUUGCACACGAGAUGUUUUAUUAUUACUGGAGAACGCUGGUGCGAACAGUUAUUUGUUCCAUGAUUCAGACUACAUUUUUUAUUUAGUAGGUGAAGAUACACUACAUUGGAUUGACAAGCAAAAUACAUAUGCUGAUACUAGGUCAAAAGAAGGGAUCAAACACCAGUGAACAAAGUAGCAAAGAACACCGCACAUAUUACAUGCCGCGCUGCUUGCACUUGGAUCGAUUAUGCCCUGUCGCAUGACACAAGGAGCACUUUACUGGGCGCUUAAUCAUCUUGCUUUCUGAUCCAACUAUCUCCGUUGAAGUCCAACAACUCUUUGCAUCAACACCUUCUAUGCCAUAUAGGCUGUCCACUGCUCGUGUCUUUCUUUUUACAUCAGAUAUGUACUCCAUCCUUGAUCGUGGCCUCACAACCGAUGGUCUGCCAGGGGUUCUUUUUCUUUCCGGUGGCUUUAGAUCUUGAUUCGCAACAUUAGCUGGUAUUUCCAGCAACACACGUUUGUCAGCGAACGCAUUGUCCUGCUUCAACUUACCCACGUCUGCCCGUAUUUUCCGUAUUCCUUUCAUCGCAACAUAUAAAAAAAGCCGUGUGGCCAGCUGAUUCCUUUACCAUUUCGCGAGCAGCUAAUGUGAGUAUGUUGUGGCCGUACGAUGGGUCAUCAACAUAUUUCCCUUUUGAUACGAUAUCGUUAUCUGACUGAGAAAAAACUCUUGCGUUCUUUGUGCACCUCUUCAUGAUAUUUUUUGGCGGGAUGUGCAAUACAUCAUUACGCACCAGUACCUGGAACACAAGUGUGAAUAUAGUUGUCAGAAUAACUAACGUCCCAGUGAUUACUUUUUUAACAUUAAGGCGAAUAACGGAAAUAAAACCUUCAGCGCGUGUCGGCACAGCAUCCUCUAUGGAUACAACAUAUCUUUUCGCGACUUCUGAUUGUGCAUGCUCAGUUGGUGCUAGUGUUACCAGAAAUGUCUUCCUGUCACCUCCAUCAUUGACUACAUACGAACCAGACAAGUACAGCUCCUCCUUGAACAUUUCAAACAUAGCCCUUGUGUAUAUUUGAGCGGCAUUUGCUUCUAUCGGUGUCGUCGACGUACAUAUACGUCGUCUCUGCACAUCACAUGUAUGGAUUGUGUAUGUAAGUUUUGUUCACAAUAUCCAAGUCUUGUGAAUGCCAAGAACGUAGAAAUAGUCAAAUUUUAUAGUCGAAUUUGAUAUCUUAAGUUGUUUGUCAUGUAGUAAAUGUCACGUAAAGAACGGAACACCAACCUGAAGCGUGGCAUGCUCUUCCCGUCCUUCAUCGGCCACACGAGAACUGAGUAGAUUGUUGUACUGCUGGACGAAAAGAUGCAUCGGUGAUGACCUUGUAAUGUAUUGCUUUAGCAAUGAAUUUGCGCUCUCGCUCCUUUGUGUGCUUGUCAUACCGGCACAGAAAACACCAAGAAAAUAUGGUUUUGCCCACAUAUUCCUGUUUGCAAAUAGCCGUUCGAUAUACACAUUAUCUUUGAGUUCGUACCUUGACACCAGAUCAGUCCAUCUAUGCUCGAAAUCCUCUGGCGGCAUAAUCUCGUUAAUGAGUGUGUGGAACUUCUUCUUGAAAGCAGAAUACUAGCUGUAGAUGUGACCCAGUUUUUCUUUUGCAUUCCUCAGAACAUGCCACUUGCGCCACCGGUGACGUGUGUCUGGUAAAGUGCUCUGUAUAGCAGCACGCAUAGCUUGACACUGGUCUGCAAAGGAAGAAAAUCACACGUUAACAACCCGUACAACUGGUAGCUAAGUUUUGUACAUCAUGUCGUACAGACUUUAACCUGUUAGUAUGGUGCUUGGGUAUUUGGUCUUCAUGAUGGAUACGAAGCUCCUGAACACCCAUUCAAAGGAUGUGGUUGUUCCUUCCCUCAUAAGAACACCGGCAAAAAUCACAGAUUGAUAAUGGUUGUUGACACCAACAAAAAGACCAAAGGGCAUGUUAUACAAAUUUGUCUUGUAAGUUGUGUCAAAUGUGAUAGCAUCGACAAAACACUCGUAGUCUGCCUUGUUCCGUCCAGUACUCCAGAUCAUUGUCUUUACCCUUCCUUCGGUGUCAAUAUCAAUGCCAGUGUCUCGUGUUCUCAUCUCCUGCAGUAACGUAACGGUCUUCGGAAGAUCAUCUUCCAUGGCCUCUUGAGAUAUCUUCGAACAAAGGUUCCGUAGUGCUUGUUUCCGAAAUGGUACAGAACCGUUGUUCCCACCUGCUGAUCCCAGAAUGUUAUAAACUUUACCAACACUGAUGUUGUUCUGCCUUAGGUUUUUCACGAAAUCUAGGUCCAAUGGAUCAAUUUCGUUGUGACAGUUCCAUUGCCUCUUCUCAUCACAACUUGGUGAUAACCUAUGAUUGUGAUUUUUGUUGAAUAUUGAGAUGUACCAUCCAUGAUCAUGGGUAUGGAGCAACCUAAUCAUAGCGCCACAGUCAGUUCUGCACGAUGCACUGUUCUCCUUGUUUGGCUUGCCCUGUUUAAGAAUCAAUUAAUUAGAAUGAUGCAUCUGAGCACGCCACUAUAAAGUACAGUAGUUAGAUGAUAUGCAUAUCCCGUUAGAUGAAAAUUUAUGGGAAGCUGGUCAAGUAAUUCAUACCUGGCAUUGACAAACAAUUUCAUGAAUGCUCCUGUACCCAUGCUUGUUUAUACGACUGCGCCCAUGAUGAAUCCCAAACCCUUGCUCCCACGAGAACAAGUUGUAUACAUCAAACUCUUCCUGUCUAGAAUCAAAUUACAUCCCUACGGAAGGUGUAAAAAUGUCUUUACUAUCACAACCACCAGCUCCUAAAAUUAUCCGUUGCAGAGCCGUGUUGCCCUUCAUGCCCUUGUUCCUACCAACACCAAGACCAUGAUAUCAGAAACACUUAAUUUAUGACCACAGAUCUUCGAACAUAACGGCGCUCAACGGCAGUCGAAUAUGUAAAAAAAAACUUUACGAUAUGCAUACACGUGCAAUUUUUGUUAGGACGCCAAUACAAUGUCGUCCGCUUCAAACAAAAUCAGGUUACACUGAUACGCAGUUGUAUUCCAUGCAAAGGGGGAAAAAAAGUCAUAUGCCGGCAGUCUUAGAGAUAAGGAUAAGUGGAGUUAGCAAUUUAUUUUAUCCACGCAUCUGAUGUGUAUAAAUUGAUCAGGACUCUCCAUGUAUUUUUCUUUAUAUACAGUAAUCGGAUAAAAACAUAUACACAGCAACGUAAUUCUUGAAGCUGUAUGGAACAGUCAACAUCAGUAACUCCAUAGCAUGCUCAGUAUUGGAUUUAUGUUAGCAUACCGGACAGCUGGUAAACCAUUGUACAAAUGAUGCAUCAUGCUAAGAUAAACGAAACCAGAGGUCAGUCGCAAUUCAUAGAACUUUAUGGAACAACCAACUUCAGUAUCUGAAUAGCACGCUCUAUAUUAGGUAACUGUUACAUACCGGACAGCUGAAAAACUAAUGUACAACUGACGUAUCAUGCUAAGAUAAAUGCAACCAGAGGUGAUUUUUAUGAUGGGAUCCACGCCUGGUAAUAUGAUCUAAUUUUGUGUUGUCAUCAAAUGUACCUCUUCUUCCAGCCAACAAAAUCGGCCGACGGCAGCGUCUCGACGUGUGUUCUGACGACCACCGCAUGAGACGCAUCAUCAGCGUCUCCGGAUUCAGAUUUGUGCAGACUAAUUCAAUUCGGUACAUCAACAGUACGCAAUAUUAGUCGGGGACUAUCGAUUCCACCAAAAUGGUGGCGAAUCAACAAAGCACAAUUACGAGUAAACAAAGGGAUCUCACGAUUCAGGUGGAGGUUCCAGCGUAGCAUGGCAACUCGAGGGAGCACGAGGCUUUGUGCGUUGUUCGCUCGAAGCAGCAGCCAACUGCGCAAUUGGAUCAGAUGGGGUGCUGCGGCGAGAAACCAAUGGGUCAAAAAUCGAGCCUGCGGGCUGGAUCUGUUGGUAGUUCUGGAAAGAAACAUCUGUGUUUGCAUACCUGGGAAUUUCCACUGGAAGCAUCGUCGAUGCAAUCGCGCUGCAGCCCUUCAACCGGUCGUCCUCCGAACAGGGCAUCAGAUCUUGGACCGCCGGAGUUUCCAUGUGUUUCUGUGUCGAUAGCUAGAUGUGAGCAUGGAUGAUAGCUAGCUGUUCCGGCUUAUUUGCGUCACCGGAUAGAUGGGCAGUGUAGAUCCUGCUGCUCAGUUCGUUCAUCACAGGGAGCAACACCUGUCGGGCUGAAGGACGCGUGUUGAUGCCAGGAGAAGAGGACCACCGGCCUAUGUGAACAGUCACCAUAGGGUUGUUUCAGGCCGAUUACUGUUCACAAUGCUUAUUUUAACAUUACUGUCGUGCUGGCAACCACGACAUUUAUGGAACGUUGCGGUGUUGCGACGGAGCAGAUAGUUGUAUGUACGUACCUAUUUGGGUAGAAAAUUAAGUCCUCACUUGGGUCUCAUGCCCUGCGAAAUCACGUGAGGCAUUUUUGUCUUUGCAAAAUCCGUAUUGAACUACCGCGAAUCUUGACAAAAUUUUAUGGUGGAUUUUAUUCCGAUAGGUCCAGUAGCCGGUAGAAAAAAUUCCUUAUGGCCUCCUGGCAACAUCAAGCGGCGACGUAAACACCCAGAGCCACGUCUGCCCGCCCGCUGUUCUAACGGUGGACCCCAAGAGCCAAGUCCAAAUACCGUCAGUUCACCCAACACAAACCCAGCUUCUCCAUCUCAAAAAAAACUUGUCGAAAUCCCACGCUUCCACGCAGACGCAUAUAGACAUGCCCGCCCGCCCGGCGCGCGCCACCCCCACCAUUCCUGUCGCCGCCGUCGACGAAUCCUAGGCGGGAAACCCAGUAGGCAGAAGAAGCAGCAGAAGCACUCUACAACUGCGUGCCACCAGAAAGGCAGCGAGACACGUACGCACACCAACCAGGCAACCCGCCUGAUUUGCCUCCUCCACCGGAACGCGGCCGAAAAGUCAGAGAGAAAUCGGCCCACGGCCGAGGACCAAAAAGGCGAGGGAGUUAAGGACGGUCUGGUAAGCCGUGGCCGUCAGGCCGGCCGCGAGGCCGUCAAUGGCCCAGUAUAUAUACGCCACCGCCACCCGCCACUGCUGCUCCCCGCGCGUCCACCCCGCGAUCCCGCUCCAGGUUCCCGCUCCUCUAGCCCCGCCGUCGUCUCGGCCGCUUCGGGUAUCGCCGCUCCGGCGGAGGUGGGCCAUGGGCGCCAGCGAUCGCCUGAAGGUGGCCGACGCCAGGCCGCGGCAUGCGGGGCCAUGCGCGGCUACCAUGCUGGGCGAGCCGCUGCCGGCGUCCGACGACCACGGCCUCGUCCACCCCAGCGCCGACUUCUCCGCCCAGGCCCUCGUCUCCUCUCCGCAGCAGGUGCACACUGCACACACGACUUUUUUUUUUCUACUUCCCAUUGAGAAAAUUUGAGAUUAUGUCGAUUGGAUCCCAAAUUCGUGCCGUACAUUCGAAGACCUUCCGCUUGUGCCGCAGAGUAUGCGGCUAGUUGCGAUCCAUCGCUACCCACGGGACCAGAUAAGGCAGAUAGGGACUGACUGGACAUAAGUAGACAAGUACGGAGUACUCCAGUAGUAUGAUUGAGGAAUUGGGGUCAUGCGUUAUUUUCCUAUUUAGUAGGGUCUGUGUACUGACUACAGAGUACAACAUCCGGUGAUUGUGAAUUUAAGUUCUAUGCUGGUUUGUUGCGACGAAUGAUCUGGGUGUUUUUGCUAUGACUGGUGACCAGUACCAGGAGAUGUACCAGCGGUCUAUCGAUGAUCCUGCAGGAUUCUGGUCGGAGAUCGCAGAGACGUUCUACUGGAAGCAGAAGUGGAGCCCUGAUGAAGUCUGUACCGAGAACCUUGAUGUGACAAAGGGACCGAUCAAGAUCGAAGUAAGAACAUGUUCAAGUAAUGUUUAAUUGAGUUGGUACUUGUAUGUGAUGGGACGUCAGGGUGCCAUUGAACUUGUUGGUGUUUGGCAGUGGUUUAAAGGGGGCAAAACAAACAUAUGCUACAAUGCCGUGGACCGCCAUGUGGAAGCUGGAGAUGGUGAGAAGAUUGCGAUGUAUUGGGAGGGGAAUGAACCUGAUCAGGAUGGAAAGCUCACAUACUCAGCACUCUUGGAUAAGGUUUGCCAGGUAAAUACGCUGUUAUGAUGAAACAAUUGUAUGUAGUAUGUCAGUGAUGUAUGCAUACAUGGUUUUAAUUUAUUUCGGUGUGCUCCAUGGCAGCUAGCAAACUACUUGAAAAGUGUUGGAGUUGGAAAAGGUGAUGCCGUGGUUAUCUACUUGCCUAUGUUGAUGGAGCUGCCUAUUGCAAUGCUUGCCUGUGCACGCAUUGGUGCUGUUCACUCUGUAAUUGUUUCCCCACUUUGCUUGCCAUUUAUUCUUAUUUACUCUAUCAAUGCUUCCUUGUUAUGAUGCUGAAUUAUGUUCAGGUUGUGUUUGCUGGCUUCUCUGCUGAUGCACUUGCGCAAAGAAUCACUGACUGCAAGCCUAAGGUUGUGAUUACAUGCAAUGCGGUGAAAAGGGGGCCGAAACUCAUCCCUCUCAAAGAUAUAGUAGAUGCAUCUCUGGUUCAAAGUGCAAAGAAUGGCGUCUCUGUAGGUAGGUAUACACUAUAAUCUGACUUCCAUGAGCAUUGACUAUCAGCGCUUUUUUCACUGUUAUUUAUAGUUCAACUUGCUCAUUCUUCCAAUUCAUAUUAGCUGUAAUUGUUUAAGCCUCUCCGGAAUCAGGAUGAUAAUUGAUAAAAUUUCUAGAGUACAAGCAAACUUUAUAUUACUACCACAUUUGUAUCUGGAAAAUGCGCUGGAGCAUGUGCGCCUUGGUGAAUUUGCAUACUUCCAAAUUUUUGAAAAUUUCAAUAAAAACUUCCUCUGUGCAUUGUUCGAUAAACUCUGUAUCUACAAAUUUAGUGCAAAAAUACGGUCAUCUGUGAUACACAAAACAAAAAAAGAUGAACAGUGUACAUUUAUGGUUGCUGUUUAGACUCUACAACCUUCUUCUUUUUUGUGCAUCACACAUAUGACUGUAUUUCUUUCCAUCCAUAUUAUGCAUCUGCAAAAAAAUCAGAUUAUCUUCAAAACUUAUGGGUGUUACCUUUUAGUUUUUUUAUUUUAAAACCACCGGGUGUGUGCACACCCAGGUCAACAUAAAAAAACUACACUCAUUUUUAUCCCUAGAAUAGUGGCCACAGUUUUCAGUUUUAACGCCUUGGUGCACAUCAGGUCUUGCUGUUGAUCAUGGACAUUGCUUCUUCUGAGAAAAUAGUUCUCACUCGAUGAGCAUGCAUGGAAUUGGUUUAAAGGAAUGCAAUGCAUAGUACUGAAAUUUUCUCAUGUCGUGUGUUUUCUGUGCGGAGCAGGCAUUUGUUUGACAUAUGAAAAUCAGUUAGCCAUGAAGAAAGAGAACACACGAUGGAUAACAGGAACAGAUGUGUGGUGGCAGGUACAUCCAAAUCAAAGACGUUCAAAAUGUUCAAUAUAUAUCAGAUUUUUUUUUAAUCACAGAACCCUCAGAAACUUCUGUAUCAAUCAGAAGAUCUUAUUUCGACCUUUCUGUUUUGUGUUGUAUUACAAGUAUUUGAGUUAUUUCUUAAUACAAUAUGUUCUCCCAGGAUGUUGUGCCCAAUUUCCCAACUAGAUGUGAUAUGGAAUGGGUUGAUGCAGAGGAUCCAUUGUUUCUUCUAUACACAAGUGGCAGCACAGGAAAGCCAAAGGUACUGUUAAACCCAUGUAACACUAAUAUACCAGCUGAAACACUAAUGUAUUUGUGAAACACUGAUAUACCUGUAAAGUGUGCAGGGUGUAUUGCAUACAACUGGGGGCUAUAUGGUGUACACUGCAUCAACAUUUAAGCAUGCAUUUGAUUACAAGCCAACAGACAUAUACUGGUAAGAUGUAAAUUUUUUGGGGUCUUCUGGGUGCAUAAGUUUGUUCCUAAUGCUAUGGGAUACUCCUCUAGAAACUGGGUUUUCUUACUGGUUUCCCUGUUUCACUUACAUCAGGUGCACUGCAGACUGUGGCUGGAUUACUGGACAUAGUUAUGUGACCUAUGGUCCUCUCCUGAAUGGAGCCAUAGUUCUUCUUUACGAAGGGGUAACUUCAGAGAGUAUUUGAGUUGAUAUUUUACAUAAAAUCGUAAUCAAGGGUGACCCUAUGCUUUUCUAGGCUUGUUUGGAUUGGACUGUUUGUAAUUUGUAAUUUAUUUGUUCAAUGCAACCCAUAGGCUCCAAACUACCCUAAUCCUGGUCGGUGCUGGGACAUCGUUGACAAAUACGGGGUGACAAUAUUCUAUACCGCUCCAACACUUGUCCGUUCACUCAUGCGUGAUGGUAGUGAGGUAUGCUGUUUGUUUCUUGUGUGCUCCUUUACACAUUUAGGCUAAUGGCGCAGCCGUACAGCCAUGCUUAACUUUUUUUUCACAUGAUUAAUUUGUUCAGUAUACUGGGAAGCUUUCUCUAUCACAUAAUAUAUUUUUUUUGAAAAGUAAUACUUCCUCCGUCCAACAAAAGAUGUCUCAAGUUUGUCAAAAUUUGGAUAUAUCUAGACAUGACUUAGUGUAUAUAUGCAUUCAAAUUUAGUCAAAGUUGAGACAUCCUUUGUUGGACGGAGGAAGUAAGAAAAACAUUUGUUCGAGAGUGAAAUAUCUAAUUAUUAUCUAUCCGUUUGGGGUGAUAUAUUCCUGAGAAUUUAAAUUGUACUUAAUGAAUACUGUCCCACAUAUAUAUUUUGUGUUUAUAUCCCUUUCCUUGUGAUGUAUUUUGCAGUAUGUUGACCAGUACUCUCGUAAAUCUCUAAGAGUUCUCGGAAGUGUGGGUGAGCCAAUAAAUCCCACUGCAUGGAGGUUUGUGGUUAUGUUCUGUGUCUUAAUUGUAGUUAUUGAACCGAGCAAUACUCGAUUGGCUAGAACGCAUGUGUGCAUGCUCGCUCACCCGCGUUCGUGGCCCAGCCUCCACAGGGGUGCUUGCUUUUUAUUAAAAAUGCCCUGAAUGCUAGUGCCAAUGGGUCAGGUUUUUUUUUAAAUGUAGUGCAUUGAAAAGGUCGUAUAUCCAGUGCACUACUGUUCAUUUCAGGUGGUUCUAUAAUGUUGUCGGGAACUCAAGAUGCCCCAUAUCAGACACUUGGUGGCAGACUGAAACUGGUGGUUUUAUGGUAAUUGUGUAUUCAUAUUUUGUGUGCGAAAUUUUGGUGCUCUUAAAGUGAGUUUCAUCUUACAUAAUUGAACUGUAAUGUGUCUUUUUGUUAGAUUACUCCUUUACCUGGUGCUUGGCCUCAGAAACCAGGAUCUGCGACAUUUCCUUUUUUUGGUGUACAGGUAUACAUGACUCCAUCAAAAUGAAAGUUUCAUCCCUUCUCUUAUUUGGAAUAACUAUGCUCAUGGUUCACAGCCAGUCAUUGUUGAUGAGAAAGGGCGGGAAAUGGAAGGAGAAUGCAGUGGAUAUCUUUGCAUAAAGAAGUCAUGGCCUGGGGCUUUCCGGACUCUGUUUGGCGAUAAGGACAGAUAUGAGACAACAUACUUCAAACCAUUUUCUGGGUAUUAUUUCUCUGGUGAUGGUUGUAGGAGGUAACUAAACAAAUAUUUUGCGAAGGUGAAGAAGAUAUCUGGCAUGUCCAGGAUUAUAAGUUCAGACCUUGACAAAUUUAAAUUUUGCGAAUCAGGGACAAAGAUGGUUACCAUUGGCUGACCGGAAGAGUUGAUGAUGUUAUCAAUGUCAGGUAAAUAAGCUAGUUACUAUAUUAUUUACACUCCUGGAUUUGAAAUCAAUGCAUGACCUUAAAACUCUUUCAAGCUCUAAGUAAUUGGCACAUCUUUUAAAACUGUAGUGGACACCGGAUUGGUACAGCAGAGGUCGAGUCAGCUCUGGUUUCACACCCAAAAUGUGCUGAGGCCGCUGUUGUUGGAAUUGACCAUGAGGUCUGUUCCUGUACUUAUUUCCCCCCUUCUUUCUGGCUUCAUGUCCCUGUAGUUUCGUCAAACUCAAGUCUUAGAUCACUAAUACAUGUUUCAGGUCAAAGGUCAGGGAAUCUACGCAUUUGUGACUUUGGUUGAUGGUAUUCCUUACAGUGAUGAUCUGCGCAAAAGCCUCGUUAUGACGGUCCGCAGCCAGGUAUUUUUGUCUGAUAUUUUGUUAUAGUGAUGGUACUACUGGAAAGAUCCAUGUGUGAUGUAAAGUAACCUGAUAGCAAUGCUUCUUGAUCUAAAAUAAUAUUCUCAUGCUUUUUCAAUAAUAAGACCUAGAAUUUCAAUAUGCUUUUCUCGGAUUUUUUAACCUUCUGAGAUUGGAUGGAAUCUUUCUCCUGGGGAGUUUUGUCUCAACACGAAUACAUGGUGUCAUUUUGUGCCAGAUUGGCGCGUUUGCAGCACCUGACAAGAUCCAUUGGGCACCAGGACUCCCAAAGACACGGAGCGGCAAGAUCAUGCGAAGAAUAUUGCGGAAAAUUGCCUCCAGGCAGCUAGAUGAGCUCGGUGACACCAGCACGCUUGCUGAUCCCGGUGUUGUUGACCAGCUGAUCACGCUUAGCGAUACCUAGUGUGUAACGACAGAGAUGGCACAUUGUCACCUGCACUUUCAUUACCUUUUUUUUUCUUGCCUAGUCUGUGAUGAGUACAGAGAAUCAGUUUAUAUGCGGUGCAUCGCUCACGGUUCCCAUGAUCUAUUUAGUGCAUAGGGGAGUUGCAACAUGCAAGUUAAAGUGAGAUGUGAUAAUAUUAGUGGUUGAUACAGUGUCGAACUGCCUAUGUAAAUUGUUGGAUCAUAGCAAAGAGAGAGUAUAGAUGUAUGUAUCCUGCAAAAAAGAGAGUAUAGAUGUAUGUAUUCGUUACAUAAAUAGGGGAACAUGCCAAUGCGUCUACAAUGGGUAUUGAGCUGAUAUCUUUUUUUACAUGCACAUACUUGUCAAAUCUGUUUCAGGGUAUCUCUUUGACGAGUUUUGACGUGACACCAGGCCUGUUCUUUUCUUAGUUUGUUGUCAUUUUGAGUUGUAAUAUUUGAGAUCUAAAAGCUAUUUGUGACUUCAAUAAUAAUGGCUGUGCAUUGAUCGAUGCAGAGGCGGGAGGAAAUGCCCUCUUUUUUGGAACAAAGAAGAGAACAUUUAAAUGAUGCCAAAGGUACAACCAAAUCACAGACAAAAACAUAAUCAAAACGAAAAACAAGGACGGGACAGAACAUAAAAAGGACAAUCUGGGGCAAAAAGCUGGACAAAAAUAGCAGCCACAUAGCCAAUAUAGUACUAGGCAGUGAAAAACUAAUAAGUUGGAUGAAGAGCCUGGCUGCCUGGGCAACAAAGAGCAUGGAAAAGACCCAGCAGAAAUAGGCCUGCAAGUGUUGAGUGUCUGAGAUCAAUGACAAAAUGGUUGGUGGUCCGGUCCCAGGGCAUAGUAUGGCUGCACUUGCUUAUCAAUAGAUUGCUUCAAAAGGAGAUAACCCUAUGGCGACUGCUGCCCUCCUAUUCCCGACGAGAGGCAAAGAGCUGCGGUGGCGGUGGCGACGGCCGUGGCGAUCGGAGGUCCAGGGUGCUUGAUCUGAGCCUGCAGCUGCUCCCUGCGCCGCUCGACCGCCCUCCUCUUACCGACGAGAGGCGGUGGAGCUGCGGCGGCAGUGGCAACAGGUUGUGGCGGCCGGACGUGGAGGUGGAGUGGUGGUUUCGUCAGAUUGGUGGUUCACUUUGCCAGCAUGUGGCAGUCAACCAAGUCACACCUACCUUACCAAGAAACAGGCAAAGGGGGUCAGGGUGCCCGGUCUCAAUUGUUGGGGAGUUAAAUAUCUGGUUCCACAGUUGAGAGUGUUUUUUGAAUUUCGCGAUAAGUUAACUUGCUUCUAAUCCAAAUAAUUUUGAUUAUUGACAGGGUCAGCGGUCAUUGUCAUUAUGAUUAUUAUGAAGUUUUGUGAAAUUAGCUUAACCAAUCCUACGAGCGAAUCCCUUCCAAUUUUUCUCAAGUUGGAAUAAAUGACUCUUGAGGACUCUGGUUCUCACCUAUUCUGGCAUGAUCCUUGGAUCAGAGGAGAAAGAUUGGAGGAUGUCACUCCUCACCUAUUUGAAGCCAGACCUCGUGCUAUUGAGAUGAUGACAGUGUCUGAGGGGAUGCUCAACAAUUUAUGGAUACGUGGCAUAAACCCUAAUCUCUCGGCACAGGGCAUCCAGGAGCUGCUGUACUUGUGGGACUGGGUGUGUCGGCAUUCAAUCUGUGUGGGGAAAUGAUGAGUUAUGUAAAUGGUCUGAGUCUGGGAAGUUCACUGUAAGAUCGGCGUACCUAGCUAUGUUUGAAGGAAGAAGAAUUCGAAGGGCAUGAUCUGAUUUGGAAUUCUAAGGCUCCUGCAAAGUGCAAAAUAUUCAUGUGGCUGGCAUGUUGAUGAAGGUGUUGGACGGCUAACCGUCUUCAACGAAGAGGGAUGGAUCACCCGAGAGCUUGCCCACUGUGUGACCAAGUGUUUGAGAAUAUUGAUCAUUUGCUCCUUGGCUGCGUUGUGGCCCGACAAGUCUGGACUUUCUUCCUUCGCAAGUGGGAUCAAGAACAGUUUUUGCCGAGUCAGAAUUUAGUGAUCGCAGAAUGGUGGUCCUCCAUUCAGUUGCCGAUGAAGAUGAAGAAGGUUUUGGCAACAAAAUGCACGCUUGUUUGCUGGACAAUCUGGAAACAUCGGAACAAUGUGGUGUUUGAAGGCACGACACCAAACGCUAAGGGCAUCAUUAGCGACGUUGAGAAAGAGUUAAUAGCAGCGCUGCAAGCAAAACUUGUUAGAGGAGGGUAGCAGCGCUGCAAGCAAAACUUGUUAGAGGAUGGUAGCAGCGCUGCAAGGUGAGUUGUUGCCAUGGCGAGAUGCCGGCUAAUGCAACGUAACAAACUUGUAUAGCUGCUUCUCAGCUUCCUUUUCUAUAAAUGAAUGCUAGGUGUAUUCUAGAAAGUAAAAAAACACUGGUUCUAAAAUGUUUGUACAUACCAAAAUUUAAAACAAGAAGCAAAUACGUACGUGUACCAAAAUCUAACACUGGCUCGAUUUCCAGACGACAAUCACAUGCAACAAAUUCAUGUACAAAGCAUCCCUCAGAAUUGAACGGAAAAAAAUCCACGGGAUCUCGACUGUGCACAUCGGCGGGAAUUACGGAGUAUUCCAUAUGGCAGCCUGUCUAUCUCCCUUGGAAGAAACGGAUUCUGCACACUUGCGACAAGAUCGACAAAUCCAACACUCGUCGCUGCAAUGGAUACAUCUGCUUGGAAAACAUCACUCCCCAUAAAUCGCCGCGGGCCAUCUCCUAAUCAAGGGGACUGAGCCACUCUCGAGGCAGCAAAGCAAAUAUACACAGGAAUAUGAAGACCGGCGAAAAACCGCACGUCGUGUGUCUGCCGGCGCCGGCGCAGGGCCACAUAACGCCGAUGCUGAAGCUGGCCAAGAUACUCCACGCCAGGGGCUUCCACGUCACCUUCGUCAACACCAAGCUAAACCAGCAAAAACUGCUCAGCUCGCGAGGACCGGCGGCGCUCGACGGCCUCUCGGAUUUCCGUUUCGCCGUCAUUCAGGAUGGGCUCCCGCCAUCCGGUGCAGACCCCGCCCAGGUAUGCCACUCCAUCACGACGAUCUGCCCCCCGAACUUCUUGGCACUCCUUGCCGAGCUCAACGACCCGGCCAACUCUGAAGUACCGCCUGUCACCUGCCUUAUCGUGGAUGGUGUCAUGUCAUUCUGCUACGAUGCCGCAAAGGAGAUCGGGGUGCCGUGUGCCGCGCUAUGGACAUCUAGCGCCUGCGGCUUUAUGGGCUUCCACCACUACCGUCUGCUCUUGGAGCAGGGUCUCGUGCCUUUCAAAGGUACUUGCUGCUUUCUCAGGCUUAUUUUGGAUCGGCUUAUUUUGGAUCGGAGGGAAUACUUGAAGAUUAUGUUUUAACAAUAUAUGGCUUGCCUAAAGAUGUGGCACAGGUCACGGACAACAGCUACCUCGACACCGUGGUCCACGGCUUUCCCGGCCUGUGUGAGGGCAUGCGGCUGCGCGAUUUCCCCAGCUUCAUACGUACCACGGACCGCAACGACAUCAUGCUGAACUUUGUCAUGGACUUUGCCGAUCGGUUAUUAUCGCUCCCUGACGCGGUCUUGCUCAACACCUUCGACGAAAUCGAGAGGCCGGUCCUGGACGCCAUGCGCGCCAUCCUCCCACCCAUGUACGCCAUCGGCCCGCUCCAUCGCCGCGCUAGCAUCGAAGUUCCCGCCGGGUCCUCGCUUGAUGGCAUUGGCUCCAACCUAUGGAAGGAGCAGCACGACGGCCUCCUCGAGUGGCUCGGCGCACACGGCACCAGAACUAUUGUCUACGUCAACUAUGGCAGUUUCACCGUCAUGACGAAGGAGCAACUCCUCGAGUUCGCGUGGGGGCUGGCGGACAGUGAGUACCCAUUCAUGUGGAACAUCCGGCCAGACCUCCUUAAAGGCGACACCGCCGUGCUCCCGCCGGAGUUUCUGUCGGCUGUAUCCGGCCGAUCCAUGCUGACAACAUGGUGCCCACAGGAGAAGGUGAUUGUGCAUGAUGCUGUAGGGCUAUUCUUGACGCAUUCGGGGUGGAACUCGACUCUGGAGAGCGUCUGCGCCGGCGUGCCGAUGCUCAGCUGGCCGUUCUUUGCUGAGCAGCAGACCAACUGCCGGUACAAGUGCACGGAGUGGGGGAUCGGGUUGGAGAUCGGCGGUGAGGUGAAGAGGGCGGAGCUGGCGGCGAUGAUAGGGGAGGUGAUGGAGGGGGAGAAGGGACGGGAGAUGAGGAGGCGCGCAGCGGAGUGGAAGGACGAGGCAGUGCGAGCGACUCUACCAGGUGGUCCUGCCGAGGCCAGCCUGGACACGGUAAUUCGUGACGUACUCCUGGCAAGAUUCGUCUCUGGUGAUGAUGGAAAUUAAACCAAUGACGAUGGGAGCACCUACAGUUGGUUGCUCCUUGCCGGUGGAUUAAACGAAUGCGGGGGUAACACAUUUUAGUUGCAAAAAAAGAAAAACGAAGUCAUUUCAAGCAGAGAUAUAAUAACCAGAUACUGCAUUGGUGAUUCUCCAAACUCCAAAGCAACUAACAAGUAUUAUAGCUAUGGAUGGCAAUGGGUACCCAUUACCCACAUACCCGUCGGGUAUUUACCUAUUAAGAUAAGGGUUUAGGAAUAUUUUACACCCAUGGUACGUAAAUGGGAAAUAUCUUGUACCCGCCGGUUAUGGAGGGUAUGGGUAUGGUACUAUGAUACCCAUAUCCUUAUAUCCUUGUACCCACCUAUUUACAGGCGGAUUGUACAUGUCAUAGGUAGAAGUGUUAUGUAUCACUAAAAAAAUCCUACUGCAGGUAAAGCAUCUCUUUGCCUCCAAACCCGAUAAGCCCCCCUUCCCCCACAUCUUACCCAACCACUCUUAACUAUCCUAUUCCUGGGCAUCUAAUCGUGACUGUGCACGUCACACUUUUCAUUACGUCUGCAGCCUUCCAACAUUCUAGUGUGGACUUGCAAACCUGAACCAUUCUCCAUUGCAUGAUGCUGAUAUAUUGCUCUUAUCAUGUUAAACUAUCAACUAUCUGUAAUUUUACCAUCUUUCAUGCAUUUUUUAUGCUUGCACCGUAUUCUCGUUAUAUGCUCCUGCGGGUAAGGGUUACCCUGUGGGUAAGGUUUACCCUGCGGGUGGAGGGUAUGGGAAACGAUUGAUACCUGUGUGCGGGUACGGGUACGGGUGCCGAGUAUAAUUUUCGGCGAAGGGUACGGGUUUGGGUGAACUCUACCCGUAUCAGAACCCUGCAGGUGCCAUCCCUAAUCACAGCGUACCACCACCAAGCAAGCAUGGUACGAAGUGUAAUUCUACCCGCAAAAAAGAAGAAGUGUAAUUCAAAGUAUGGAGUUUUGAGAGUUGAGACAAAGUAAACUUAUUAGCUCGACAGCAUAGAAAUUAGACAUGUAUCCAUUGUCAAGGGAAAGCUUGACCGCACCAAGGUACAAUUUUUACAAAUCCUAUGCCACAUGGACGAAUGGUUAUCUUGUCUCCGGAAACUAAAUUACAGAAACAUAGAACACAUCAAUCCAUUCCUGCCUCAACGGCCGCUGGCUGAACCCGAACUCGAUCAGAAUCGGCUGCGACGUUGCUGUCCAUGAACCCAAACUCAGUCAGAACCGGCUGCUGCGGCGUCUCUGUCCAUGAACCGCCCGAUGGCACGGACGACCUCGCCGCUCGCCUCUGACCACGGCUUACUGGAGAAGAAGCCGUGCUGCUCGCCGGGUAGCACGAAGAGCUCCACGUCAUUCCCGGCCGCCCUCAUUUCCUCCGCGUACCGGAGCUGGUUAUCCUUGAGCAUGUCCUCGCCGCCGACGACGACGAGCACGCGACCGCCGACACGGGCCAGGCCGGGGCUGUCCGGCCCCAGCGGGUUCAUCAGCGGGUGGUCCUUGUUGGCGCCGGCCGGCAGCGCGAGCCGGUUGUACCGCUCGGCCACGUCCCGGCUCAGGGCCGCCGUGGCCGGCGAUUCGAGCUCGGACUCGGUCGGCGCCUCCGAGGUGAAGGCCGGCAUGAUCAGGACGUACCCUGCGACCUUCACCACGGGGCCGAGCCCCGAAUCGCCGAAGCGCGCGGCCAUGUGGUGCGCCAUGUUGCCGCCGGCCGAUUCACCGGACACGAAGAGCCGUCCAGGGUCGGCGCCCGAGUCCGCGAGCCACGAGCCGACGCCAUCGUCAUCGUCGUUGUUGGGGGUAAGGGCGAGCCGAUCGCGCAGCCAGAGGAGGGCGUCGGCGGCGUCUUCAUGAGCGGCGGGGAGGCGGUGCUCCGGGGCGAGGCGGUAGUCGAAGGAGAGCACGACGGCGCGGGCCUCGUCGGCGAGGCGGAGGCAGCAGGCGUGCACGGACGGCCACGCGCGGCUGCCGAUGCAGAACCCGCCGCCGUGGAAGUAUGCCAGCACGCGUAGCAGGGGCUUCUUCCCUUGCCGCUCCCGGGGCGGCUUUGGUCUGUACAUGCGCACGCCGAGGCCACGGCUGCCGCCGUACGCGGCGUCCCUCCACUCCACGCGCCCGUCGUCGCGGUCCUCCACCGCGUACGGCGACGCUGAGGACCGGACGACGGUCCCGUCGCUCAGCACCUGCAGCACGCCGCGGCAGUCCUCCACUACGUGCGGCGGCGCUGUCGCUUCCACCUCGACGACCGCCGGCUCCAUGUCUCCGGUACGCAUACGCAGGUAAACUAGGACAACAAGCUACUACCCAAACAACUUGAUUGGUUCAGAGGCAACUGGAGUUCAUGUGUCGUGGACUGUUCAAAAAUCAUUUUUUUAAGGAACAGAUCCGUUUUUGUUUUCUUUUUUGAAAAGGACGGAUCACCUUUCAUUUUUGAAAGGAACAGAUCAGCAUUCCAUUUAUUAGUCUUCUUUGACGAAGGCAGGAAGUUUACCAAACUACAUUUCAUAGUGGUAGGCUUCCGCAAGGACACUAUGCGUAGCUAAAGUGUGUGCAUCACCCUUUUACGCGCCCUUGGGUAAUUAAGACUCUUACAUUGAAACCAAGGCGUAGAUGAAUUUAUUUGAAAGUAGAUGAAGUUUAAUUUUUCCUAAAGAUGGCUCCCAGGGAAGAUAAGUCAUAAUCGACUAUUUUCUUACCACUGCAGAAUAAGUUUUUUUUAGAGGAAACACUGGGGAAUAAGUUAAGGAUCACAUUUUGGGAUUUGAGAAGCAAUGCAAUGAUCACUACUUGUAGCAAUGCAUGGGCAUCGGCAUGAGGACCAGACACUCGCUCCAGGUCAACUGCCAUUGCGGCUAGUAAAGUCUCAUCCUCCUGAAAAAUACUUCUCUCUGAAUUAGCCACCAGUGUUGAUCUUCACGACAAUUUAUGAGAAUUUGCACUGCUUGUUUCCUUUGAUCUUUGCUUCACCUUCAAAUAAUUUGUGAUUUGUAAAGUGGAAACUAAUAGGAAACAAUUCUUUGACGGUCGUCGGGGCAGUGCCGUGCGCCGCGUUAAUUUAGUUGCUGCGGCGGAGGUUGUUGUUCCGGUGGCUCAUGCACGCAGGUAAGGGGGGGGCCUUAAUUCCAUCUGCCUCCACGGGUGCUGGUGUUUUCGUCGAGCAAACGCUGCAUGGGUGGUGAAGAUGACGGUGCGGUAGCUUACUGUGUUCAGUCGCCGGUGCCGAUGGGCUUAUGUGGGGCCUUGAUGCCCUAUAGAGGUGCUGUUGGGCAUGGAGGUUAUGAUGGCACUGGCUUUUGGCAUGGUCCUAUAUGAGGGUCAUGGUCAGUUCCAUGGCCGCAGUGGUGGUCGUGGAUGAGGCCAGAUCGGCGGCUCGCUAGAAGAGGGGCAAAAUUGGCAGUGGCAUUACUAAUUGAGCUAGUGGUGCCACCCAGGCCAUUAUCUAGGAAUAAGUUGAUGGCCAUGCGAAAGUCCUCAGCUAUGAAGGUCGAGCCAAUGUUGACAAUGCUUUUAGCAAUGUGACGAUGACUGGUGGCACCAUCUGUUGCUACUUUCAAUGGUGUUGAUGUGAAGAAUAACGAUGAAGAUAGGUCGGAAAAACAACAUAGGAAGGCUAAUGAUUUUGGACUUUUGGUUUUGGGAGCCCGUUCAUGGUUUUUCUAAGGGGUUCGUUGACGAAGAUGUAACUUCGACAAUGUCCAUAUUGAUGGACUUGUAUCAAGAAAAGAUUUCAAGUGUGUGUUGGCGAACUCGUCGGCUAACAAUGACAAGGGGAUACGAUUUACCCAGAUUCAGGGCCCUUGAUGAGGUAAUACCCCUACAUCCUGCUUGUCGGAUCUGUAUUGAUGAAUCGAUUACAAUGGGGUGCCGCAGAGUCUAGAUGCACCGAGUCGUCGAGUGCGUCUAGGCGACUUCUCUGUAAGUUGGGGUGUCCUCUUGGCUCCCCCUCCUGGUCAUUUAUAUAUGCAGGAACUUAGGUCUCAGGUAGAGUCCAAGUCGGUUACAAUGAGGAGAUACACUCUAAUUAAUCUUCUUAUCUUAAAUCGUAAGACUUGGCAUGUAGACACCUGGAGUUGAACUAGGCUUCCUUGUGGGCCCCAGUUGGGUUGUACCGGGUAUAAUCAAGUCGAGUACGUGGUUAGUCAUAACCACGUCAUUCGUUUCCUUUCGGUUGGGAAACAGAGUCCUCUCCGUUGAAGCUACUCAUGCGUGUUCUUUUACGUGUUGUAAGGUGACAUGAGGACGAUUGGCUAUGUGGAAUUUGUUUUUUUUCCUUGCUAUCAUUUUGAGUUGUAAUAAACAAGAUUUGAUCGUCAUUGUCGACUUUAAUAAUAUUGUGGUUGUGUGCAUUGAUGGAUGCAAGACACGGAAACGUCCAUCUGAAAAAAACAAAUAUAAUCCAUACUUCUAAUAGUUUCUCCGAUAUUCGGCUUAUUCUUUUCGUGCCACCAAAGCUAGAGCAGAAUGACAAAUCUUUAGAAACAUCCUCAUUCAGUUCCAAUAUUUCUUUCACAAAAGCUUCCAUCCUCAUACAUAUAUAACACAUAGGACAUGAGUAUCUACAUUCAUAUCUAUCCUUUGGGGUUACAUCGGACUGAUAGUUGGUCUCUCAAUUCCAAUUCUCAAUGUAAAUCUUAUUCUCAUCGAGUAAACAAGCACGCACCCCCUCAACUCUAUCCCUCUUUUUGACCUGCCUAUGCAUAGCACACGUGCGUUUGACUAGCCGCAAAGGUACAAUCCCAUUCCCACGGUCUUUUCUCGGAAAGAAAACGACCCUACGAGCAAAAACACAACGAACUUGUUGAAUAUAUCAGCCCUUUUGUUCGGCUUCCAGCAUGGGCUUCCGUUCUCAGAAAAGCCCGUCCUGAAAGCCGGGAAAGAAAGGAGCCACAGUUUACUGUAGCUAUUGUAGCUGCCGAUGGAGUCUGGAUGUUCAGCGGCAGCGUCCCUAGGGAUAAACAGUACAUCGUAUAAAUUUAUGUGACUCAUUGGUGAAAUCCACUUAGAAAACAGCUAGUUACCGUGUGAUCAUUGUGCUUAGUAACCGGUGCCAGUACAUGAAACAAAUAAAGAAGUACUGUGUAGUCGUUACAAUCCAUCAAUGAUUGGAUUUCUUUGUACGUACCUCCUCCUCCAUUUAGGUUUAUAAGGUUACUGUUGAAGUUUGUGCCACGUUUUGACCAACAAUUAUUCAAAUUAUAUUUAAUAUAUGCAUAUAAAAGUUAUACCAGUAAAAAAAAUUAAAAUACUAAUCCAAGAAUAUAUCUUUUGUGUCACAAUAAUCUCAUAUUGUCAAUGUUAUUUUUUGUCAAAAAUUGGCAUAAAAUUAUGCAUGGGCAUUAUAAACCCAAAGAGAGGGAGUAUACGUUUUGCUCUAUGGACAACCAACGCAAUCUCCUCUGAACUUUGGGCGGCAGCUUUGAUAUGCAGUGGGUACAAUCCAGAGCAAAUCAUUCCUCACUGUCCAAAUACUCAAGGGCCCUAGGAUACGAUGUCCAAGGCAAACCAUGCGCCGACCGGUUGAGUGCAACAGACGUAUUUGGAGCUGAGAUAUAGAUAUAUGUACUGUACUACUCCGUAUAUUUCUUUUGAAUGCAUUGUUAUCAUAUACACAAAUGCUUCUUUACCAUAUACAAAGAGCUGUCAGAGAAAACAACCUGGGCAACUGAAACAACUGUACUUCCUCUUCGCAGGCAGCUGCACAGAUGAUGAAGCUCUGGCCCUAUAGCAAAACUAGGCCUGCAUCCAUCUCUCGCAAUCUCUGUGCAAAUCGGGUCCUAAAUAUCUCUAUAUGUGUCUCCUAGCUCGAUCCACCAUUUGCUCAUGCCCUAAUCCCAAUGAACUUCAACUGCAAACACAUAGGCCACCCAUAAGCCAUGUGUCAGUUCAGGUUGACAUCAAUGGAAAUUCAGACUGAAAAAGCCGUGUAUCGCCUGCAGAAACUUACAAGGUUGUUCUUGGGCUCUCCCCAGUAGAAGCCAUGGAGGAAGAUGGGCAGGAUGUUGCACGCGAGAAGGACAAAUAUCAUCAGCGCGUGCAUCCCCAUCCACUCCAUGGCGAGGGUCGGCCGCCGCAACCCGUACAGGUCGACCAGGGUGUAGAUCCCGGCGAAGAGGAGCCCUGCCGCACCGGCCGUGGCCAGAGUGUAACUUACAGUGUACAGUGGUUUAUUCAUACGCAUUCCUGGAGAGGAUAUCAACGGCAUAGUGGUCAACAUCACUGUCCAGCCGUUCAGGAUGAUUGGGAAAGAACUGUUAGCGUUAACGAGAUCCUUUACCAAAGAAGUCCAUUGCGAAGGCCAGUACUAGCAUGCCGAAGGAAGGGAGAAGCCAGUGCAUGAUUCUUUCCCUGUGUUUCUGCAAUUCAGUUGGGGAGAAAGAUAAUUCAGAAUUAUGUUGCACUAAUCCACAAAGUAAAAUGUUGACCAAACUGACUGACAUUGCAAGCAAGCAUCAUUGUAUGUACCUGAAAAUGUACAAUUAUGUGCCCGUAUUGGAGGCCGAUCAAGCAGGUCACAAUGGCCAUCACAGAACUGGUGAGCGUGGAAAGAUGGGACAUUCAGAAUUCACCGUUGUCUCAGAAAUGGUAUUACAUUUUUUUAAAGAUAAAGAAUGAAGGGUUUUGUUACUGACCUGAGAAGCCCCUCGGGAUCAAAAGGUGCCUGGCACCAUGAAGGAGCGUCAGGUGGAAGUGGCCCAUUUUGCGGUGAAUCUAUGCUACAUUGCUGUCACAGGAGAGAACAGUUACUCCCUCCGAUUCUAAAUUGUCGUCGAAAUAUUACAUGUAUCUAAAUGUUUUUUAAGAAUAGAUACAUCCAUAUUUGGGCAAAUUUGAGUCAAGAAUUUAGGAUCAGAAAGGAGUACUAUUGAUCGGAUAAACCUGACAUCUUUGCACUUCAUUAUUACCUUCGAUCGCGCGUAAACUGGUCGGCCGUAGAGAUGCUGGAUGCCUAAGAUUUUGCGGUCAAUCAUGCCAACCGCGUUGCAACCAGGCCCAGAGUCCCCUCUUACACCGCAUGUUACCUGAUGAAAGUAAUGGAUUUUUUUAAAGUCGUUAGUUCCCCUGUAAUCUACAUGAUACUACUAGAUAUCUCUUAGCAUGAAGAAGAAGUGAGUGAAACUUACAGAGAAGGUUUUCUGUGUGGAACCAGGUCCGGAUAUCUGAUACUCCCAGUCAGGAACGUAGGUGCCAUACAAGAGGACCAUGUAGGUGACUGUAAUUAGCAAGCCUGCGAAUCUAGCAGAACAAAUAGCCAAUGAUAAUUUCAGAAACACACAACUUUUUCAUACAAUUAUAAAUUCCCAAGUCAUGUAAAUCAAAUAGGCAAAAUGGGGGAAAAUGGUUUAAACUCACAGUUGAUAUCUGUAUCUCUUGAUCAAAUCAAAUCCAGAAUCUACAUCAUUGUCUCCCUUGAGCCAAAUCUCACAUAAUGCGGUGAGAAGAUAAGCUAUUGCGAUUCUCUGCAACAAAGGAGAUACGACAUCAAUGUACAUCCUACAUUAGUUCGGUGCACAUGCUGAUGCAGAAUCAUGUAUCGUACAUAUCUUGCAUUUGUACCUGCAGUAUACCCAUAAAACGUAUUUGCGUAACAUCAACCCCAAAUGUCAGGCUACGAACACCAUGAAAAAAUCCACCUGUUCAUCACAGCAGCCAGAGAAAUCGUUAACAUCAAACAUUGUGUCGCAUUAAGUGUGCCAUCGUUAAGAAAUUCAAGAACAAUCGAUAGCCGUCCUAAUAUGUUGUACCUUGGAGAACAAGACCAACACAGAACAGCUUCAGUGCACGAAGUGUCGCCUUUCCAGUUGCCUCCAAUUUGUCCGGUACUCUCUGCACGACAAAAUGACGCAAUUAUUAGGUGUAAGCAAGCUGUAAAUGUCACAUCGGUGUUGAUUAGCUUCAGAAAACGAAGUAAAGGUCAUGAUCUUGACUCUUGCGCUGUCAGUGUGUACCUUGUACGCCAGAGCUAGAGCGACCCCAACGAUGAAAAGGAAAAAGGGCAUGACGAAAUCGGCUAUUGUCACACCUUCCCAUGGGGAGUGGUUCAUUGCCGGAAGAAAUGAUCCAGCGUCGUCCACGAUGAUCAUAAGCUGCAGCAAUGAUAGAAACAGUUAACCUUGCUUGUGGUUAUCUUCCGAAAUUAGGUUUCAUAUUUCUUCUUUUUCACCAGAUAGAAGAACAUCAGGUUUACUGUAGAGCCAAACAGAUGUUGUUGUUUUUUUGCCUUUAGGUAUCAGUGAAAAUGACUAAACAUAAUGUUCAAAGUCGUCAUUAGUAGACUAGUAGUUAGGACAUUCACUUCAUGCUAAACCAAAGCAUCUGCAAAUCCCAUGGGGGUACCAUAUAGAUUGAAUAAGAUAUAAAUCAAUGUAUGUUGGACUUUGAGCCGCCACACACACAACGCCCUAGCUCAGGGCUGACCCUAGACAUAGAGGCAGGGAAUUUUGCUCCUUUUAAAAAAGAAGCCAGAUACGCUUCCAUUUAACAAUAUUAUACCCCUAUAUUUGUGGGUUUUUUUUGUCUAAUUCAAUACACCCCCUUUCCCAAAGUCAGAAGUAUAGGAUAGUCUUUUCAUCUUUUUUCUUCUUCUUCCUACUCUUUAUUUCGUCCUGCAUCUUCUCUCUCGCAAACUAUCCGUUGCCUCAAGAACUAUUUCGACGAUCCCUCCGGUGAGAAUGUUUAGAAUUGUCUCUUCUACGACGUUGUGAAAUUUAAUCGCGAUCCAACGGUGAAAUCUCCGACCAAUACCAAAAUAUCGAGUGUUGUUCGGAUUUCUCAAAGCCAUUCGUGAUAGUUCGAUGUUCACAUGUUUCCCACUGAUCCGUGCAAUGUUUUAACGAUCCCUUCGGUGAUAUCGUGCUGAAUUUUGUCUACCAUUACAAUAUGAAAUUUCAUCGCGAUCCAACGGUGGAAUCUCCGCGAAAUUUUGAAACACCGAGUGUUAUUUGGAAUUCUCGCGACCGUGCGGGACAGCAAGAACAUCCAACUUGUUCGCAUGUUUCCUGAUGCCUCGAGAAUGGUUUCGCUGAUCCCUUCGGUGGGAUUGUGCGUAAUUUUAUCUACUAUUACGAUAUGAAAUUUCAUCGCGAUCCAAGGGUGCAAUCUCCGGAAAACUUCGAAACACCGAGUGAUGUUUGGAUUUCUCGUGUCCGUGCGGGACAACACGAACACUUGUUCGCCUGUUUCCGGCUGACUCAAGAAACUUUUCGCCGAUCCCUUCGGUGGGACCGUGCGAAAUUGUUUUUACUACUAUCUCGUGAAAUUUCGUGAAGAUCCAACGGUGCAAUCUCCGGCAAAAUCGAAAAUACCGAGUGUUGUACGCAGCCAGGCGGAAAAGAAAUGAGGAAAUAUUGUUUAAUGUCCAUCGUACCCUUUUUACGAAGGGGGUAUGGAGUAAUCUGAACCGUCCUUAUUUUUCGUAAGAUGAGGAGGGUGUAUUGAAUCAGAAGUGUCUUCUUUUUGUGGGCCCUAUAUUUGUGGUUCUUGCAUUGCUGCCUUAAAAAGCAGAGUACCAAAUAUCUGAGAAAACAAAAAGAACACGAUGCUGAUAGGCGAUAGUUACAUCUUCACACUACACACGGUGGUCUGGCUUCUGGCAUCCUAUUCGAUCUCCAGAUGCAUUUCACCACGAAAGCCAAAAUAUUCUAACCUGGAAGAGAGAAAGAGCCCCACGAUCAAACCCACCACGAAAACGAGCGUUAGAUUGCAAGAAGCAGCGUUGCAUGCGCUUUAGGCGUUUGUCAUUGCCCCUCGGCAACAUCAACCGUUCCAUACAAUCUGAUUUUCCUCACCGUUUGUUAUGUCUGUUCCCUUUCUCUUUCGUAACACGCGAAAGGUGACCGUCAUUUCAUUAUCGUUAGGAAUAGAUGAGAAAUGCGGCCAGAGAGUGGUUUCGUGGCACGCACGAAGGGCCAUCGUCAUCGUGACUCACUCUCCAGAUCGAGUGUAAAGCAAGACACUGAGCUGAGACCAUUUUCCCAUCCUUCAAAUAAAGUUCUCCGGUUGAAUGGGUCACUUCUUCUGAGACACCUCCAAGUCCAACGCUAGGAUACAACUCGACACGACCUAAUUUCAGCUUAGGACGCACUUACCAGGUCUGCUUCUUUAGAGUAGUAAUUAAAAGCAGUAGGUGGAGAGAUGAAUCACAAGAGUCUACAGCGACGCGGACCUAACGUUCUCCCAUUGGCAGCCUAGUGCUAAUUAAACUGCCAAUGCAUUCUACUGUGGCAUGGCUUAGCUUUCACGUAGGUUUGGCGGUGAAUUGUUGUGGACGAAACAGAGUGUGGGGGGCCAGCAGGGCAGCAGGCAAAGCUAUGUGGAAGGCAUGGAUUGCUUCACGAUUUCGAGACGAGGCAUGGCCGGUCGUUGCAGCUGGGCAAGAGCUACAGGGAAUCAAUCACUAAUGUACAUAGUACGUGUGGUACUCUUCACACAUACAGGGCUGUCAUUUUCGGUGGGAUAUUGGACAGCCUUGCCGUGUUUUCUCAGGAGCAAUUGGUUGAGGUGUUACCAUCGGCCACGCGCGCUUGGACCGGUUACAAGGAACGUGUCCUUCGGAUCUCCUUUUGAAGAUGUCCUAUGCACCUAUAUUGAUCGAUAACAACUCACUAUGAUCGUGCCAUCCAAGCUUAUUGCUUUUCUUUCUAGCUAGUAGCUGCUUGUUCAUUUUCUGCAACAUGACAACCCAGGAAAAAUGUACGUGUUACUUAAUUCAACCACUGUUUAAACUUUCAAGACAUAGCUCUCCCGAAAAUAGAAACUUUUUAGAGUAAAUUUCACAGAACUACAUUUUUUGUGGCAGAUGUCUCACAAAACCACGGUUCUUUGUAGUCUUACAAAAUCACAACUUUUGGGGCAGCUGGUCUUAGAAAACCCUAAUCUUGAUAACGCGGGGCCACCAAUCAGAUGUCACGUCAUCUUUCCCGACCCGUUUUCGACGCCACGUCAGCUGACUUUGCUCUAGUGAAAGCUGGUGAUGUCUUGGGUCGGGUAGAAACCGACGUGGCGUCGAAAACGGACAUCGAAAACGUGUUGGGAAAGAUAACGUGGCAUCUGACUGGUGGCCCCGGGUUAUCAGAAACGUCACCAACCAGCUUAAUUAUCGAAAUUAGAGUUUUUUGAAACCGGCUGCCUCAAAAGUUGUGGUUUUGUGAAACUAUUACAAACAACCGUUGUUUUGUUAGACAGUUGCCACAAAAAACGUGGUUCCGUGAAAUUUACUCAACUUUCUAAGACACGGCUUAAACAAGGCCAUGAAUCGACCGCAAGGGACCAAAAAGGGUUGCGAGCCCUUCUUGCAAAUGAGUUCAAACUUAAGUGCGGAUCUAAUUGAUGGCAUGUAUUUUUCGUCUGACGUCUAGCUCUAAGUACCCAAGACCCAUCUAACUUCAAAUCUAUAUUAUCUUGCACCGCUCGUGGAGGAAAUUGCACAUUCCACCACCUAUGGGGGACGUUGCGCAAAACACCACUUUUACGAAUUUUUUGCAGAUUUCACCACAUAUUGGUCUAAUUAGAUGCAGAUAGGUUCUAAUAGCAUGUUAGACGAGUUAAUAACGUUUCUGACCUGUGGGCCCCGCAUGUCAGUGCCAACGUGUACCGAAUCCUUUGCCACGGUGGACCGGGUCAGGUUUGGAGCUAACUGGUUAAAAGAAAAUCACGUCUAAUUAGGUUCCAAAAUAUGGUAAAUCAGGUCGGGCCGGGGCUGACUCCACUGAAUCAGGCAUGAUUUCAUUUUAAUCGGUUGGCUCAGACCCGACCCGGUCCACCGUGGUAAGAGGCCCGGUCCACGUUGCACUAACAUGCGGGGCCCAUAGGUCAAAACGUGAUUAGCUCGCCUAACACACUAUUAAGACCUAUCUGCAACUUAUUAGGCCAAUAUGUGGUGAAAUCUGCAAAAAAUCCGUAGAAGUGAUGUUUUGCGCAACAAUGUCCCCAAUAGAUGGUGGAAUGUGCAAUUUUCCUCCCGCUCGUGCGGUGGUGGUCGCUUCCAUUAGACAUUAGUCUCACGCACGCACGCACGGUUGUGCCGUAUUAAUCUGACACCGACAUCUGCCCUUGUUUACUGCCUACUUCUCCCCCGAUGCUAUCGGUGACGGGCAGUAUUGGAGACGCGGGCACCGAAGGUGAGAAAACUAUUUUUUCUUUGAGAGAACUAGUGGCCGCGUCGGGGUCACGAAUGACGCCAACCUUCAAAAAGAAGGGAAAACUACCCGGUGCGGGUAGGACAGGGCUACGCAAUCUGCACGCCUGCGACAGCCCAGGCCGCCGGUCCAAAGCCCCUCGACACCACACAACGACGACUAGCGCCAGCUGCUGCUUGCUCCUAGUCGUGCGUAGUACGUACCAACGUCCAAUAAAAACAGCAAUUAUCUACCCGCCGGCCUCGCCUGGCAAAUCAGGACGCUGGCUUUUAUGCCGGUGGAGCGUGCGUGUCGGCCUGCGAUCGGCGUCGCGGACCACGCAAGCAAGCAGCGACAGAGAAAAACGGAUUAAAGAAGAAGCUAAUUAACAAGCGGCCAGGACAUCCCGUGGCCAUGUGGAGCAGCUGCAUCCGUCUCAUGCGCCCGGGUACAAAGAACCGAUCGAUCCACAAACCAGCAGUGCUUGCCGGUGGUUUUUACGCGGCUUUGGGUUAUAUCACACUGCUCCUUAAUUAUGGUAGUGCCGGUGCGUCGAUUGUUCGGCCAGGGCCUUGCCAUUUGUCAGUGGCCACCCACCAACAAGGCAACAAUGUCCCACCCACAACGAGCUAAUGCGAAGAGUUAGCCAGGCAGCUUUGGCAGUUGGCGGAUUCGGCGUGGCCGGCCGGUCGAGUCGGCACGCCGGCCGGGAGAGGGACACGACGCACGCCACCGCGUGAUGUAAAGUCUUCAGGGGAGGGAUUUUCCGAUCGAUAGAUAGAUAGAUGCCUUGCGGGGCCAUGCCGUUCACGGCGAGCGAGCACGCGUCACAUGCAAAAGGCGCCGCACGGCUCAUGGGGCUAGCUUGUCUCGACGUGGAGGUGCCAACGGCCGCCGGCGCAUCGUGCCAUGCCCCGCGCGUCCUCCGGGGCCAGGGAAUAUUGGCAUUUGGCAGGCUAUGCUGCCAAACGUAAUCCUCUCUCUCACACAUGUUACGUUUCUCCUGCGUCCAGCUGAAAAUGGGUAGCUGCCUGUAGCUACCUAACAUUCCUCAUCUUUUCUGCCCACAUGCCAAAUCCGAUCCAGACAACUUCUCUAAUACUAGGAACAAGUACACACUAGGGAAAUCUUAUUCUCGGUUAUACCCCCCUUGAUCUUCGACCCUUCAUCCAUCUGCUUUCUCUAAUCUGGACCUCUCUUUUUUUUUGUAAUACAGUACUAUUUUCGUGCAUAUCGUAUCCUCGCUGUUACUACUAUUAUCUAUACCAUCAGAAGUGGCGUAUCAUGUUAGCUGCAUCUCGACGUAUAUCUUUCCUUUUCCAAGCAUCAAUUAUGAGGAUACAUGCGCUCAUCAACUUAUCUAGCCAGCAUAACAUGGACGGCCGGUGAUCAGCAAUAGUUGACAUUAUAUAUACCCCUUUCUUUCCCUAUCCGACAAAUUCAGAUACGGAAGCAAUACUGACUACUGUGAUGUGCAAUGCAUGAACUCUGCCGUGUGGUCUUGGAAUCGGUCUUGAGCCCAAGAAGCAACAGCUGGUGAAAUUCCCUACGGUGGCAUUUUCUUAACGUUACUGCGAACCUGAACCGGUGGGCCACUAGCUAGCUAGCACCGAGCCACCGACGAUUCGAAUCGCAUUUGGCGGGUGUUGGGGGGAUUAACUCUUCGGAAUCCGACGGGACACGCCGGCGAUUGUUAAUGGCCUCCGUUGUAAAGAACCAUAUCCCAUCAUCAUGAUGGGUCGCAAUUAACUAGCGUUUGCGAUGAUGAUCUGAUGGGCUGUGUCCACGAUGCAUGGCUACAAUGGCUACGGAGCAGAGCUAGCAGAGUCUGUUGAAAGAAGAGAGGUAUAAGCCAGAGGAGACAAUCAUAGGCUUGUCAUCUGUGGGAGCAAUGACUGAAAGAGCAACCUGUCAUGUCGAUCCGUACAGACCUUCGCUGGCCAGUAGUAAUGUUCCCUGAAGCUAAAAGCCUGUACUGCCGAUGAGUUUGUUUGGUUUAAGCAACUCUGCUUUUUCUUUUGGUUACUCUAGUUUAAGUGCAGACAAAAAGGGAAAGAGGAAAAGAAGGUGUAGUAACGACUACUGCAUGCUCGAUGAUCAUGAUUCGCGGAGAGAGCACGGUUUGGCUUGGCUGUGGCACCAAAACCGCCGCAAAAUCGACCGGUCGAUCGCGCGGAGACGGAGCACACAAUUCGAUUCGGCAAUCACGAACAUGGCAAAAGCAGGGGCAACAAGAAAAGAAAAGGCAGAGAUUUGUUUUGGUGGACAUACCAGUACGGUGAUCCCUCGGAAGACGUCGAGCGAGACGAGCCGCUGCCGCGACGAUGCCGCCGGAGAGCCCUUCGGCGGCGAGGGGGAGCGCCGGCCGCCGGCCUCCAGAUCCGCGGCGGGGCCCGCGGAUUCGUCGCUCCGGACGAGCUCGUAGACCCCCAUCCCGCCCGCCGCGCUCUGCCUGCCGCACCGCCCGUCCGGUGGCGCCCCUGCAUUGGUCACAGCGCCCAUCACCUCCACUUUCCCCCCACCAAUGGCGAAAGCGAAACAAGCGAAAGGCUCGAAAGCAGCCGCAGCGGCAGGAGGAGAGCCCAGGGGGCGUAGCAACAAGCGUGUGACGAGAUGCGGCACGGAAGGCGCCCGCUCACCUGACAAGCACACACAACCACUUGCCUUCCUUCCCUUCCCUUCCCUUGAUCCCUUCUCCUCGAUCGCCUCGCGUGUUUUCGCUUCGUUCGUGCGCUCUCUGCUAGUAUCCCCCCGCGCGGCGAUCGUUUUUUCUUGUUACUUCGGCCCCGCGGGUGUAUAUAUAGGAAAAAAAAUCCUCACCUGCAACAGCGCGCCUUCUCUCCGUUCAGGGUUCCAUCUUUUUAUCGAGGGGUCUCUCUCUCAAGCCUCAACGCUCGCGUGAUCGUGUCGUGGAUCUCAUGCAAUGACGUGUCCACCUUCCGCGCGUCCCGCCUCGUCGCGUCGAUCACGUGCCGUUUCGAAUCGAGCGAUCGAUCCCCCGCCGGCCGUCGGAUUGAAGGGUGUUUGUGCGAAUCGGGGGCUGCCUUUUUCAGUUUUCAGUGGAAGUGGUGAUCGGCUGGCUUUAAAGGACUCUCUCUCCCGAUCGGGAUCGACAUCGGAUAAGAGAUGCUUCCGUAUCGGAAUACGGGCGAUCCUUAAGGUUACGGUGUAUAUUUGCUGUUGCGGUUUUGCUUUUUGGAUCGGAGUUGAGCUUUACUUUUGCUGCAAACAUGAGUUCGUUAGUCCUUAAUUGAUGGCACUCCAGCAACAGAUCCCACGACGCAAAAAAGGCAGGUAUGGGACCUUCAGACGAGAUCUAUCGGAAGGCGCGGCCGUUCGGCCAGUUGGGUUGGAACUUGGAACGGAACGGAUGAUGCCGACAGAGCAAGAUCCUUGGAGGAACACGCAAUCGCUUUUAUCACUUCGCGGCUGUUUCCAGCUCUUUUAGCGUUUCGUGGGCCUUCACAGCCUUGUGGCCUGUUGCGACUUUUUUUUUUUAGAAACGCGGCCUGUUGCAACUGUGCUGGGCAAUAGCUGAGUUGUCUGCUCCAGAGCCCAGAUCCAGACUGUUUUUUUUUUGCGAAGAGCCCAGAUCCAGAUGGGACUACGGUGAAGGUCUAUGUGGGCUGACCUGCUGGGCCGGCCUGCCUAUCAUUUUUUUUCCAAAGUUCACCCGAGUCAACUCAAACAACUUUGAUAGACCUGUUUUGCUCCGCUUAGAUUCAAGUGUGCACAUCUACUAUCUCUCGUGUUUCUAAAAAAAAAUCUACUCUCUAGUCCAUAUUACUUGUCACAGUUUUAUCCAGACAUGUAUGUAUGUAGACGCGUUUCAUUAUGUAGGUACAUGCAUAUCUAGAUAAAACUGUGACAAAUAUGGAUACUUACUUUGAUGACGAUUUUGCGGCACAAGAAAUUAUGUGAACAUACUCGGUUUAAUCAGUUGUGGGAUCGCAGGCACUCGGCGGCGAGUCCUCCGGAAGCGGCAGCUGGCAGUGAAAACUCGAGGAGAGGCGUGACCAAAAGGAGAAAGACUACGGUUACGUUGGUUGGGUUUUUCUCGUGUGAGAGACAUAAUCCUAGCAAGGUCAAGGGGGGAUAGGUUGCAUAAGGGGCGAAGCUAGGAUAAAUAAGAGUUGGUGUCAAGAGCUUACUUGCAGUGGUUUAUAACUAUUUUGGAUGGUGUCAAUUUUAGUUUCGUGCUAUAAGUAUAAGCAUUUGUAAUAUAUAAUAUCUAUAAAGUUGAUCCCCACUAUCUUCAUUAAAUGUUUGCAGGCUUGACAUGCAAGGUGUCCACAUUAGCAUCAACAUCAUGCGCAUCAUGAGCAUGUAAAUUGUCCACAUCACCAUCCACAUCAUGUGUUGUAGGCCAUUAGAAUCCAUUUUGGUGGUCAUUUCGAAUUAAAUAUUUUGAUAUCUAGGAUUUUCAUCUUCACGCUGUAUAUAAAUAUUUUAUCAAAUACACAUAUUUUCAUGAUAUGUAAAUCUUUCUAAGAUCUGCAAGUACACAUAUUUUGAUGUUCAUGCACAUCAAAAUUACUCCUAUAACUGUUAUGAACGAUAAAAAAUCGUUUUCUCCUACAACAUUCAUAUUUCUUUUGCAUUUAAUCAUAUUAUUAUCAUUUGUUCUUAAAAUUAUAUCCAGAUAUGCAUAUAAAACUUUCUGUAGCAAUGCGCGGGGAUCACCUAGUUUUCUCUAUGUGUUCUGCCACCUACUUUUUACAAUAUUUUGUCCUAAAAUCUUCGCACACAUGCUUCUUUGGUCCAAAAAGACAAGCUUUCGAAAUAGGUAGUGCCGUCCGUUCUAAUUUUCUUUUUCGAAAAGGAGGGAAUGGUCCCGACCUUUGCAUCUUUUGUAAUAAUGACUAGCACAAUUCAGAAACUCAUUGCUCUCAAGUGGAACGUUUAACUGAUGCACUUCCGAGUCGAUGGCUUUUUCAUUUAAAACUGUUGAUUAAACACAUGAUGAACAAGCUUUCGGCUCUUAAAUCCCUACUCGAGUCUAGGGCUCAAUUAGCCACUCGGGGGCUCCCCAUCGGGAUCCUCAACUUUGGUGUACCUGCUACGGCCCAACAGGAAGCCCGCUCGAUGGCCCACUACGGCCCGUGAAGUCCAAGUACCUUGGAUUACGGCUGAAGGUAAGAAAACCGACUUAGGGUUAUUUCUAGUUGUAACCGACCAGGACUCUGCCCAAAACCUAGGCUCUUAUAUAAAGGACUAGAAAGGGGAGCCGGAGAGGACACGCUACUCACGCAUACACAUCACGUCAGAUCCAAUCUGCGCACCACAACAUUCCAACGAUCUUGUAAUUAAUCAUCAAUGCAGGCUCAAACGAGCAUGAGUAGGUAUGUUAAAAACAUUUUCACUAUUGUCUUUGUUUCGAUGAGAUAUUCAAAAUCAGAUUCCAAUUGCCUAUGUUUUUGUUGACUUUUCCGUUGUGUUUCUACAUUUUUGUAAAGUUGGUAGUCAUUUUAUAAGAGAAGAAAAAUCAGAUUCAUGUUUUCUGUUAGUCCAAGUUGUGCGUAUCAGUUACCAUUAACUGUGUUCGUGGCUUUCUGUUAGAAGAGCAGCAAGAAGUGGGUUUCUAUGUAAUUUACUCAAAAUCUACUUCCGGCACCGGUAUACCGCCCGGACGCAUUUCCCGGUCUCACGCCGGAAACGUUACCAGCAGGGAGCACCGAUGGCACGCAGCGAUCCAGCCAUGCCGUUCUCAAGAACACGAAGUCCCGAACUACCGGCGCGCAACGCAAACCGACCACCCCCUCGUUCGGAUAAACCCGCGCCACGCGCGCGUCCCGACCGGAGAGUCAGAACACCAUUCCCCCGCCCUGCGGUGGAAUCGAAGCCAAAACGAUCCCUUUCUUCCCUCCGCAUCCGCCAUCCGCAUCGCCUCUCCGUCCGCGCGCGCCGCCGUGCCGGUUUCCCCACCCUCCCCUCCUUCCUUGCUUGCCGCCUCCACUUCCUCCUCUCCACGCUCUCCCUCCCCUCACUUGAUUCCUACCGGUAGCACACACCAACUAACCGCCGGACACUACUCUAUUCCGUCUCGUGCAACUUUUUAAGCCAGGUCGCGCACCUUACAGCGGGUGCGACUCCAUACUUUAAUCCAAGGAGAAGAACAAGUGUCCAAUCAUACGCCGAGACGGAGGAAGACGACGAUGAUGGAGGCGUGCUGCUGCUCCUCGUCGGUGCCGUCCGCGUCCAUCCUCGCCACGGGCGCGGGCCUCCGCCGCCGCUUCUCCCCCGCGGCGGCGGCGGCGGGCGGGAGGGUGCUCGCGCUCGCUCACCCGCUCCGCUCCUCCUCCGGAGCUCUGAUGGCGGCGACGCCUCGGCGGGGGCAGCAGCGGCGCGGGGGGGGCGCGGGCGUCGUCGUCAGGGCGGUCUUCGAGCGGUUCACCGAGCGGGCGGUGAAGGCGGUGGUGCUCUCGCAGCGGGAGGCGCGCGGGAUGGGGGACGAGGCGGUCGCGCCGCACCACCUGCUGCUGGGCCUCGUCGCCGAGGACCGGUCCGCGGCGGGGUUCCUCGCGUCGGGCGUCCGCAUCGAGCGCGCCCGUGAGGCGGGCCGCGCCGCCGUGGGGAAGGCCGGGCCCGCGCAAGCGGCCACGGGGCUGGCCACGGACGUGCCCUUCUCCGGGGCCAGCAAGCGCGUGUUCGUGGCGGCCGUCGAGUUCUCCAGGAACAUGGGGUGCAACUUCAUCUCCCCGGAGCACAUUGCCCUGGGCCUCUUCGACCUGGACGAUCCGACAACCAACAGCGUCCUCAAGAGGUUGGUGGCCGUGUUCUCCUGUUCCAUGUUUCCCCAAGAGCUCGCGUUUUGUUGGUUAAUGUCAGCUAAAAUAACAAUGCGUCAACUAUCUCGUGAUCGCCUAAGCAGCCAGCAACAUUUGAUCUUUUGAACCUGUUAAAAUAUGAACUAGUCACAGUUAACAAUUAGAGCCAACCAGCAGAAAGGCUCGUCGAAAAGAAAAUUUUAUGUGUACUACCCAAUGAAAUGGGAAUUCAAUAAAGUGAGCAUUAAAUGAAAUGCUGGCAUCUCACAUUUCUAAUUAGUUAUUCCAUCCGUUCCUAAAUGUAAGAAAUCCUAGCUUUGUUCUAAGUCAAACUUCUUAAACUUUGACCAAGUUUAUAGAAAAGUCUACCAACAUUUGUGACUCUAAAUUAGUUUUAUUAAAUCCAUCAUGGUAUAUGUUUUCAUAGUAUACUUAUUUGAUAUUCUAGAUGUUAAUACAUUUUUCUAUCAAAACUAGGACUUCUUACAUUUAGAAACAGAGUUAGUGCUAACUAAUUUAUGAUGUUCAUUGUAGCUUAGGAUUGGAUCCACGUCAGCUAGCAAAGCAGGCUCUUACACGAGUCCAAGGGGAGCUUGCGAAGGAUGGCAGAGAGCCUCUGGGACUAUCUUCUUUCAAAGUGCGUGAGAAAUCUACUGCUGGAAGUGGGAGGUCUCCAAUAGUCAGAUACUCGAAUAAAAAGAAAGGUCAGGAGUCAAGAAUGCUUUGUUGAUGUUUAUGCUAAUAUUCCUGAUGGCAUGGAGUGGAAAAAUUAGCUUCUUUUGUUUGUCAUUUCAGAGAAAAGUGCACUAGCUCAAUUUUGUGUAGAUUUGACCAUGCGAGCCAGUGGGGGAUUAAUUGAUCCUGUUAUUGGUCGCGAGAAGGAGAUUCAAAGAGUAGUUCAGAUUAUUUGUCGGCGAACAAAGAACAAUCCUAUUCUUUUGGGUGAAGCAGGUGUUGGUAAAACUGCCAUUGCUGAGGGGCUGGCUAUUAAAAUUGCAAAUGGAGAUGUUCCUAUUUUCCUUGUGGUGGGUUUCCAUGACCAGCGGCAGAUAAACAAUCAUGUUUCGUGUAACAUUUUAUUAGCGCAACAACAGUUAACACUAAUAUACAUUAUAUUGUAGGCAAAACGUGUACUGUCAUUGGAUGUAGCUCUACUGAUGGCUGGUGCGAGAGAGAGGGGUGAAUUGGAAGCCAGGGUUACUAGUUUAAUACGUGAAGUGCGCAAAGCAGGUUAUCUGAUUUGUACAGUAUGAAUGGAACAGAUAAAUUUCUAUUCUUGGUUUUUUAUCUUCCCAUAUCGCUACAAUUUCAUGCAGGUGAUGUUAUUCUCUUUAUUGAUGAGGUUCAUACUCUUAUUGGGUCUGGAGUUGCUGGAAGAGGAAAUAAGGGAUCUGGUCUUGAUAUUGCUAAUUUGCUGAAACCUGCACUUGCUCGAGGUGAAUUGCAGGUAUCAUUCUCACAAGAGGAACUCAUUUGUGGCUCAGUCUAUGCUGCCCAUCUUGGUACAGCAAAUAAGCAGUAACUUGUGCAUGGAUUAUAUCAUUUUAAUUACUAUCUGCAUUUAGGAUUUGUGCAUUCCCUUAUUUCUGUUUAAACAUCUAAUGAGGUGGAUGGUUUAGUUCCAAUUUCGAAACAGAUAAGAAAUACAGUACUGCAGGUCAGGUCAGGUCAGGUCAGGUACUCAGGUAGUCAGGUCAUACCCUGUGUUUGAUAUUUUAUAAGUAGCGUAGGAUGCAUUACAUACCACUAUUAUUGCAGAGUCUAUCUGUAAGUUUUUUAUUAAAAUAUGUAGAUCAGUUAUAGUUGCUUAUCCGAACAACUAUUGGUGCUGCUGGUACUAGAGUAUUAGAUUGAUGCUUUACUGCUGCACAUUCUCUUGAUGUUGUGCUUUGCAGUUUGUCACUUGAGUGACGUUCCUUUAUGUGAGCUUUUUGUGGUAAUUACCAGUCAUGAUCCUGUGGACCACAUGGGCCAUGUCUAUGCUGAGUAUUAAGUGGUUGCUUAUCCCAUGAUGUAAUGUAAUAUAGCAUCUCAUCUUUAUUUUACACAGUGCAUUGCAUCUACAACUCUGGAUGAACACCGUUUGCAUUUCGAGAAGGAUAAGGCUUUGGCCCGCCGAUUCCAGCCAGUAUAUGUGAAUGAGCCUAGUCAGGUAGCGCAGAAUUUCAUUUCUGAACUAGGACACUCUUCGGUGUCUGCUUCGUUUAAUGUUCCGUCAUGCUCUCUGCAGGAGGAUGCUGUAAAAAUAUUACUUGGUCUGCGUGAAAAAUAUGAGACUUAUCACAAAUGCAAAUAUACCUUAGAAGGCAUCAAUGCGGCAGUUUAUUUGUCAGCAAGAUAUAUCCCUGAUAGACAUCUUCCUGAUAAGGCUAUUGAUCUGAUUGAUGAAGCUGGUAGUAGAGCUCGGAUGGAAUCAUUUAAAAAGAAGAAGGAAGAGCAGUGCUCUAUCAUUUCGAAGUCACCAGAUGAAUAUUGGCAAGAGAUUAGAGCUGUCCAGGCCAUGCAUGAAGUGGUAAUAUAAGAUAAAUAUAACUGUUGCGAAGAUCUCUUUUCUUUGUCCAUCUGCUGGUAGAUGUUAAUUCAUUUCGGAACACAUCUCAGGCACUGACAAACAGGUUAAAAUAUUCUCUAAAUGAAAAUGACCAAGAGAAUGGUGUCGAUGUUGAAGUGCUAAGUGAUGGCAAGAUUAUGCCGGCUUCAAAACUGGCAGCUUCAGCUGAUGAGUAGGUUCUCUCGUUCACAUGGAGCAAUUUAUUUUGCAAUUUAAGCAUCAGAAUAUUUAAAACACGCUUAAUGAUGCAGACUAUCUAUGGUUGGAUCAGAGGAAAUUGCAAGAGUCACAUCAUUGUGGUCAGGCAUACCAGUCCAGCAGUUGACUGCAGAUGAAAGAAAGCUUCUAGUAGGACUAGAUGAUGAGCUCAGAAAGCGUGUCAUAGGUCAAGAUGAUGCUGUUGUGGCUAUAUCAAGAGCUGUAAAGAGAUCGCGUGUUGGCAUGAGUGAUCCUAACAGACCUAUUGCUACUCUACUUUUCUGUGGUCCAACAGGAGUUGGAAAGACUGAGUUAACAAAAGCUCUAGCAGCAAUUUAUUUUGGAUCUGUGGGUCAUUCUUUCCUGGUUAAAUCUGUCUAGUAUCAGCCCUUGACUUCAGAACAUGUUACAGGGAAUUUAUCUUAAAAAGUUGUUUGUUUUGUUUAACAGGAGUCAUCUAUGGUUAGAUUAGAUAUGAGUGAGUACAUGGAGCGGCAUGCUGUCAGCAAGCUCAUAGGCUCUCCUCCAGGGUACAUGGGAUUUGGUGAAGGUGGUACUUUGACAGAAGCAGUCAGGAGAAAACCAUUCACUGUAGUAUUGCUUGAUGAAAUAGAAAAAGCUCACCCUGAUAUCUUUAAUAUUCUUCUCCAAGUAUUUGAAGAUGGUCAUUUGACUGACUCACAGGUGCUAGAUCCUGUCAUUUCUGAUAUUCCUUUCUGCACUCCACAAUUUAAAUUUACAUUGCAUUUUAUUUCCCUCACAUGAUUUGUGAUAUCAUGCACCUAGAAAAUUAGGCUAACCUCUAAGAACCUUUUAACUAUGUGACGAAAUCGGGAGCGUGCUCCUUUUUCUUAUGUGAACUAUUUUUGCAAACUCAACAAGCUGAUUGUUCAUUGUUAUGUGUUACUCCGUAUGAUUUAUGCCCAAUCCCAUUGAUGAGGCACAAUCUGAUGUGCAUUAUUAAAUCUUUUAUGUGAAGAAUUUUUAGAAACCUGAGGACCCUGACUGCAUCUUAUUAAACUUAAACCAAGAUUCUCUUUUUGUACAGGGCCGUAGAGUUUCCUUCAAGAAUACGUUAAUUGUUAUGACAUCAAAUGUUGGUUCUGCAUCGAUUUCCAAGGGAAGGAUGAGCAUAGGUUUUCAGACACAAAAUGAUACAGAAGAAAACACAUAUAAUGUGAUGAAAUCUUUGGUAACAGAAGAGUUGAAGGCAUUUUUUCGGCCUGAAUUGCUCAAUAGAAUGGAUGAGGUAGUUGUGUUCCGUCCACUUGAGAAGACUCAGGUCUGUUGUUUACCUUAAUUCCUUAGUUUGUUGUUUUGUAUAUCCUAUCACUUCUGAAAACAGAAACUGCCAUUCCAUUUAUACUCAGUUGAUAGAUUUACAAUAUCUUGUAUGUCAGAUGUUUCUUUCCUUUUGUGGAGGAAUGAUGUGUUGUACUUUUUAGCAUUUAAUGAUGCACUGAUACUUCUGAAUAUUUUCCAGAUGCUGGCCAUUCUCAACAUAAUUUUGCAAGAGGUGAAGGGUAGGCUUUUAGCCCUCGGGAUCGGCUUACAAAUAUCUGAUGCAAUGAAGAACGUGAUUUCUCAGGAAGGAUACGACAAGAGCUACGGUGCGCGGCCGCUAAGAAGGGCCGUCACCCAGCUUGUUGAGGAUGCCAUCAGCGAAGGAAUUCUCUCUGGGCAGUACAAGCCCGGUGACACCAUAAUGAUGGAUGCUGAUGACAAGGGGAAACCUUGUUUGAGCCGGCUGAAUGACCAGACUGUUCAAAUGUCUGAUCGCACGCCAACUCUUUGAAGGCUCAAGCACCUGAUGUAUAGUAAAGCUUACUCCGUUAUUCUUUGCUACCAAUAACCUUCUUGAUUCUUUCACGUGUAGAUUCCGUAUUUCAUGUACAUAACCCCCAGACACUGGAGUUUCUCCCUGAAUAUACUGUAAAUUUAACUCUUUGGUGACCUGUACAUACUGCUGCGCUACUAACAUAUGUAUAUUCUUUACGUCAGAUGGUGGAAUAUACACACUCUUCUUUUUAAGGUGGAUAUACACAUUCUGAAACAGUGAAAACUUCGUAUCCUUCUGAACACCUACUGAGUUUUGCCCGGAUAUAUUCUGAAUUGCCCAUACAGUUGAUUUCUGCUGUGAACUUUCUAAAUAAUUAUUGAACUUAACCAAUGCGUAGAGCGAGUAUUCUGAAGAAAUAUUUUUGCGUUAACAAGAGCAAACAGUAGAUCGACUGAAAUAUCUAUGCACAUCGACGCAUCUAACGAACCUUCCUAAAGGUGCUGUUUGGGAUAUUGGUAUUUAUUUGGUAAAGUUUAGGUAUAUUUAGUUCAACUUUAAAAAAUAUACUUUUCCCAAGCAGGCCCUAAGUGAGGUAUCAUAGAAUACUAACAACGAGCAUAUACACAUUUGAAUUGAGUGUCUCAUACCUUUGAUAUUCCGACGUAAGAAGUACUUCCUGCGAUUCAUAUUACUUGCAAUUUUGUUUACAGAUCUAGUCAAAGUUACACAAGUAAUAUGAAUCGGAUUGAGUUCAAACGCUGUCCUAAAUCAAAGUUCUCCAUAAACGCUAUAAGAAAUUUGAUUCAGUUCUACAUGUUCAUUAAUUUAAAUUUUUCAUCGCUAUGUGGACGCCAAGCUGGAAUAGCUCAGUUGGUUAGAGCGUGUGGCUGUUAACCACAAGGUCGGAGGUUCAAGCCCUCCUUCUAGCGUCUUUAUUUUUAUUUAUUUUCCUAAGGAUUAUCCAUGUUUUAAAAUUGAAAGCCUCUUACGGAGGGGCGCGGGAUGAGCUUUUGUGCCAAAAGCCUGCCUGCCUAUCUCUGAAAUUAUUCUGGUAACGAUGGUUCUAACCAGCGAGGGUAUUCUCGCUGUUCCUAUAGUACAAGCUACAAGGUGUAAAAGACAACGUACUAUAUUAAGAUUAGGGGAUUAUCCAUGUUUCAAAAAUGAAAGCCUCGUAUGGAGGGUGGUGGGAUGAGCUUUUGUGCCAAAAGCCUGUCUAUCUCUGAUAUUAUCCUGGUAACGAUGGUUCUAAGUUCUACGUCAGUGAGUCGACGGUAUUCUCGCUGUUCCAAGAUACUACAAGGGGUAAAAGACAACGUAUUAACAUAAGUAUUGUCUUAUGAUUAUAAUUUUGUAUCACAUAUUAAUAACAUAAAUGUUGGUUAGAGACAUGCCUUAGCGAAACAAAAUACAUCUCAUACUCUUUUUCUCGGUCAAAUUUUGUACUUCCUCCAUCCAACAAAUGAUGUCUCAACUUUAACAAAAUUUGAAUACAUCUAUACACUAAGUCAUGUAUACAUUCAAACUUGAGACAUCUUUUGUUGAACGGAGGAAGUAUAAAACUUGGUGGUACCGUAGACACAGUGUAGAAAGAAUUUUAGUUAUGAAAAUCUGAUUGCUGCUGGAUGGAGAUCUGGCAAAACGAACCACUCCGCACCAUCUGACCCCCUCGGGUAAGUGGCAGUAGACACUUGGGAGAAGAAUGACAAGGUUGGAUUGGAGCUAGGACAAAGCGAGAGGGGCAACAGUCGAGAGGAAGAAGGCGGGUGGGAGAGGCAGAUGGAGAUUGAAACUUCGUGUGUAAUUCAUGUUGGCAACUAUUUAAGGGUGCUACUGUGCAUACAGAUCACUAUAGACUAGUAAUAAGUUCUGAAAAACGAGUUCGUAUCCUAACAUUGAUUUAUAAUGUCAUAGCUUAUCCUUGCUCAACCUACACCAUUUAUCUCUACUUUAUAUUCCCUAGAAAAACAGUACUACCUCCGUUCCAUAAUUCUUGUCGAAAUCUUACAUGUAUCUAGACACUUUUUAGAAACAGAUACAUCCAUUUUGGAGCAAAUUUGAGACAAGAAUUAUGAAACAGAGGAAGUACUAGUUAUAAGCUUUACGGAUCUCCUUUUUCAAAAAAUAAGCUUUACCAAAGUAUAAAAAGCCAGUAACCAAUUAGAGCAUGGAAAUGUGAGAUUUGCAACUAGUACUGUUUAUUAAUUUGAGAUAAAUGAUAUGUAUUGAGCAAUGUUAGACCUAUAUUUCUCAUGGGUGCUCUACAUAGCUCUUGCAGCUAUUCCUAUGCAAAACUAUGGCUAUUCUUUAUGUUGAAGUGUACAAGCCUGCAACACCAUACUGAUGUACACUGAUGGUAUAAGCACAGAAGAGAACAUAACUACCAUAGCUAGCAGCAGCUCGCACUAACUCAGAGUGAAAUCGUCCAUCUUGAAUUGCCCAAAUGACUCGGAAUAAGAUUCACGUGUUCUUGAGAACAAUCUCUGCCGUAACACAUAGUUCAACUCAAACUUCAGAACAGAUCAACACAUGUAAUUUAAUCAGUCUAACGACUACAAAACAUAUACUAGUUAUCUUUUAAAAUCAUACUGCUGCCUAAGAAGCUCAUCAUUGAUUCGACUUCCAAGAACAUAAUUUAUGCAACUUGAGAAAACAAAAACGGUGCUAACAGGCAGUGGCAAUCACUUCAAUUUUAUUUCGUCAAGCCAGGUUCUCUGCAAAUGGCCAAAUAGCUUAUUAGAUCAAGGAAACAUGCUAGAAACUAGAAACUUAUGCGAUCAUUUCAAACCUUUUAAUGUGAUCAAGGAUGACAAGUCUUGGACCAGGGGGGAUAUUCACAUCUCUGAGUGCACUAGAAGAUAAGGCCAAGACAUAUGUAAUGUUUCGUCAAUUAUAUAGCCAAAUUUAGUAAGCAAGUGGCCAUUUUUAAAAGAUUUUUUCCUCUUCGUAGUCGCAGAAAUUCAAUUUAAUAUAGAAACAUGUACCUGUCAUUGAGGAGAGGCAAUGUUUCAUCAGUCAGAAGACCCUUCUUGAAAUUCUUUUCAUAGUUCUGAAGACCUAAUUGGUUCAACAUAUUUCUUCCACGAGAAUAGUUCAUAUCCUCAUUCUGUCCCUUUGGCUUUGAGAACUUCUGCCCAACCUACAAUCGAGAUAGAUACCAUAAAAACUAGAAAUCACAGCAUGAAAGCAUGUAGACUUAGUGGCACCUCACCAACACAUUCGGUAAUAAAAUCUAGAGGUUUAAUUCAAGUGGAAUAAAAUGACUUUCAUCUGUAGGAAAUAAGUCCAACUUAUUACCAUGAAAAAGCCACCUUGAAAUACUGCAAAAGCCAUACCAGUUGUAAUUGCAUUAACAACUGGAUUUGGUGUUCCCAUUCCGCUCACAAUGGAGAAUAGAGCACCAGAACCAAAAGCUGCUGCCAUGCUAUACAAAAGAAAGCUCAUCAACCAUGUAGGUGAGAAAACUUAUAGCAAAAUAUGUUCGUAUUGUUAACAAUCAGCCCCCUAAAUUUGUAAAGCCUUUCAUGGUUAACUGAAGAGAAGAUGAAGGGUGUGAUUCCACUUUGUGUUUUCCUUGUACAAAGUUUACUAUUCGCUCAAGUCAUAAGUAUACCAAGUUUAUCUUUGCAAUUGUUGUUAUAUUUCUGUUUAUAGCUCAGCAAAUAAUUAUGAGCAUAUUCAAGCAACCAUAUGAAACCCAUAAUGUAGAGAAGAAUUAAGAACUAGCUAACAUGUCACAAUUAUCACACCCUGUCUUAUUUAUCAGUGCACAGGUGACCAAUAAAUCUAGAAACUCCGCAUACAACAUUUUCAUUAGCAAAGAAUAUUUACAGGCCAUACAUAGUUGUAGGAGCUUACACUACAUUAAUGCAUUACCUUUACUACUGAAAAGAAUCGAGUGGGUGGUGGUUAUGAUAUGUUCUCUUUGCCUUUUACCAAAAAAAAGGAGAGUAAAUUUCCCAGUAGUGUUGCAAUUGUAUUGGUAUUUUAUCUUAUGUAUUGUGAUUCCGUUGCAAUACAGGGGCAUUUAAUUCAUAACUUUGAAGUAACACUACCAGAUAAUGAUUUUGCAUAGAUAUAAUUUAACUGUUUGACCUUUUAAGCGAUUCUUUUUUCAAGAUUACAUGAGCUGUGUGGGGUUUAUGACUAGUUUUUUUUAAAUGGCUUACAUAACAUCAUGUUUUUUUAAACCGCUCCAUUACAUUCCACUUUGUUCUCAGAACCAAACACAGCCUUAGGAAAUGUAAAUUGGUUAUAUCCUAGCCAGCUGAUAAGCAAUUCACGAGUGGCUACGGGAAGGAAAACAUCUUAUGUGAACAGAAUAAGCUCAGCUGUUCUGCGUGAUGUGUUGGAUCUCUGUUUAGUUGCAGACAUUUACAUAACUACAAACAAGAACUUAUGAAUGAUUACCUGCCCUGGACAUCCUCCACUCCUCUUAUCCUUCUCAUAACACAAGAUAUGCCUGCGUUUGCACCAGUCAUAACUGCAAAAUUUCGAGCUUGCACCAAUGGCCCUCCUGCCAAAGCCUAUAAUAAUAAAAAGAAACUAUUUAAUCUGACGGCUUAGAGGAUUAUUAGAUUUAGAUGAACCAUGAUAACGUUGUACGUAUUAGCACAAUGCAAUCGUUGGGCAACAAUAUUCUUAGUUCCUGCAUGCCAGACAGCCUUAAGGCAUAAGGAUCAAAAAGACUUUGCUGCACUAAAAUCAAAGGAAGAGUGAUUGCUUUAAAAGACGAAAAAGGAAAAGCCAUCACAUGAGAAUAAAAAGCAGAUAUCUUGAUUUGCUCUUUGAUAAAGUUCGGUUGAUUCAAAAAGAUAAAGCAACUAAUCUAAGUCUGAAGUAAGAACAAACAACCUUCACGAUGUCGAUGAUCUACUGUUUAUGGGCAAGCGCUAAAUUGCUUUGCAUACUAAACAUAUAUCCCAGGAAAUUAGCAACAAAAAAUUGAGGGUCUCCGUGUAAAUCUGUAACGACGGGAGGACUAAGAGGAUACCUGCGCUUGCUUGAAGGUGGCCAUGGCGUUCGGGUCGACCCCGGGCGGCGGCUGAGGCACGGGCAACCCCGCUCCUCCGUCCGGCGCGAACGUACCCAUCAGCCCUCCGAGCGCGCCGCCCUGCACGGCACCGAACGCCGUGGUGACGGCGGCCUCGAUAUGCGUGGGCUGCUUGGCCAUCCAGGCGCGCACCUCCGCCUCCAGCGACUUGACGCGGUCGCCCAGCUCGGCCAGCGGGUUGGCUCCGCCCCGCGACACCGCGGUCGACGAGGAGGCCAUCACCACCAGCGGCCGCUUCUUCUGCCCAAUCCCUUCCAUCUCGAAGCUCCCCGCCGCUCCGGUGCUUCGAAAUGCUUAGGGGAGAAGAGGGGGAGGAAGGGAGAAUGGAGAUAGCUUGCGCUUCGGUCGCUUGUUUAUCCCCUUCCCUUGGGUGCUCCGUUAAUAAGGUUGCUGACCCCCUCGGCGUCGCCUAAUAUUUCUCUCGAGCUGUUCCAGGGUUUCCACCAAAUCCCAAAACUCUCGUGGAUGACAUGGGCCGGUUAUUCUGGGCCGGCGCCUCGUGGAGAUCAAUAUUUUGUUGUUUUUUUUAACUGGGGAAUGGGGAUACUCUAAAAAAAAAACUGGGGAAUGGGGAUCGAUGUUCACACGGCUCGUUUGGCUAUCAUCUGCUCAUCAUCUGUGCUGGAAUACUGAUAUUCAUUUUUUUAGCGUUACUGAUAUUCGUUUUAGAUUUUAAAAAAUCAACUCGUUUGGAUGGCAUAGAAUUCUCAAAGUUUAUAAAAUCACAUCUAUGCCCAAUCACAAUUCCUCUCUAAAGGCAUACCUUUUUGAAAUUGCCUCACAUUGUACAAAUCCAUAUGUUAAGCAAACAUGACUUUUGAAUUCAGAAUUCAACCAAAUGAGAUCUUAUAAAAAAAAUUAUUUCAUUUCAUUUGGCUACCAAACGUCAUAAGUAUGAGUAACACCUCCUGGUGUGCUGGUGGAGUUGUGGGUGCAUGACUCCACCCACCAGGGUUUAAAUCCCGCUGCUUACUUUAGAGGUUUCCUCUACAGUCUUUCCCUAAAAAAACAUCGUAAGUAUAUUUUCAAAUAUGAAAUCUCCCAUAUUUCGUGGUUUUCUUCCAUGAGAUCCACCCAAAUGAGAAUAAGUGCGAUCCUGAUAGCGAGUUCUCCUAAAAAUAUAGAGAUGCAAUCGUACUCGAGUACAAUCUCCGAUGGGGGCAUUGCAAGGCCGGCAAAAUAUGAAAACCAUUUUUCAUGCCGAAUCAACAAAUUAAUUUGGCAAGCUAGAAUCAGCAUGAUGAUCAACCUUGCAUAUUUACUAGAUGAUUGAUGAUGUUGAAGCCAUGGGAGUCCACGUGCCGGGGUAGAUGGGAAUAUAAGAACACGAACAACAGUUCGGUAACAUCUCGUCGGUAGUGUGUUAGUCAUAAUUGAUGGGUCACCGGUACGUAAGAGAUACGUUAUGACUAACAGGUUAGGCAACCAUAAGCCUAUAGUAAAGUCACUUUUGGGGUGAGCUCUGAAGCCUGUUGUAGUAGUCACUACUAACAGGACACAUCAAAGAGCCCCCAACAAAGAAAGUUAUCCCGUAACAGGUUGUAGUAGGCCGUUCGUCAGCAGUGACUAUCUCGAUUGACGGGCCCUUUUGUUUCGACCUGUAGACGGUGACAUAUAUAUUAGAUUUGGCAUGAAAAAUGUCAGCAUUAUGGGACUUGCUCGGCCGUGCCUCCAAGUGGUGGCAUGCUUCCUACUAGGCUGCAGCUGCUAGGAGUUCAUGAACAGUCCAUUGCCACUGCAGCCCCCACACAUAUUACACAUUUGUUUCAUUACAUAUACACAUCACACAUUCAUCCAUGAUAUAAACAAAAUUACCUUUGUGCAAUGAUUUUUCGAAGAAUCAGCAGUAACAUAUCCUUUAGGUCUCAUAGACAUUUCAUUUGUGGUAAUUUAGUUCAUUAACUACAUAAAGAAAAGCAUAGGUUAUGCCCAGCAACUACGUAAAGAUCGAGUACACAAGUCAUACCGUGAGAACUUCUCAAAACUAUUCUUAAAAAACAACUUCUCACAACUACAUAAAGAAAACACAUGUUAUACCGUAAGACCAAAUAAGUAAUCAAGUUAUUAUAGAUUUCUACAAGCUGAUAUAAGACAAUAACAGUGGCUUUCGCAGGAAUCCAUCGGUGCUAGAAGUUUUAUGAUGCCCCGCCGUGGAAUGUAGCUUAUGGUCGCAACACAUCAUCAUUCAACAACAGUGGGUUUCAAAAGAGAUUGAUCCUUCAACGCCACAAGUUUCAUUCAACAUCAUUUGUCUAAUGCGGUGUUGUCUUCAAGUUAUCAUAUUCCAAGAAGUAGAGUUGUUGUUGGGAUCACUUGCAGUUUUAAGGGUGUUGAAGUGAUGGACAAAAUCUCACGCACAAAUAGAACCCACAUGUCAUCGACCGAAUGGGUUGUUGUAUAAAAGGAAAUUGAAGGGGACCGGUUUGGUGGAUAUAUCCCUUGUUGCAAUAGGCCUUUCAUUCCGAGGUUCUAAAUUAGAAGAAAGCUUCUUCGACUAGCUAUUUGAUAUUAUUGAAAUCUCGUUUGCUAUUGCCUUUCUUAAUCCCGUUGCAACAGCGGACCAAAGCAAAAAAAUAAAAAUGAAAAUAAAAUUGUUUCAAGCCGUGGAGAUAACAGUCGCUUUGUCUUAAGAACGUUGUCGUAUACAUGUCCCCCUGUUUUAAUGCCCGAGAUAGCAUGUGUCAUGGCGAUAGAUGAAGGAGCUGACCUCACACGUGCAUACAUGAUUUCCUCACGAAAAGCAACAACAAGGACGUUGAAACAGAAACGUGCGUGAACCCGGGAACCAAUCACGGCAGAACGUACAACUCCAGCUAGCUAGUACUACCUCUGCGUGAUCGAUCGGUUUCCAGGCACGUACGAGACGCAUAUCAGUCCUUGAAGAUGCCGAAGGCCGGGGUGGAGACGGAGAUGCCGCCGUCGAUGAGCAGGUUGUGGCCGCUGACGUACCGCGCGUCGUCGCUGGCGAGGAAGAGCACCGCGGCGGCGAUGUCCUUCACCCUUAAGCCCACGCCCUUGAGGUUCGCCAGGGACUCCAUGACCAGCUCGAACGCCUCGCCGUCCAGGCCCACGUAGCCCGUGGCCAGCGGCGUGGCGGCCGCCGCGGGGGAGACGCAGUUGACGCGGAUCCCGUGGCGGCCCAGCUCCGCCGCCGCGUUCUCCGUCAGGCCCACCAGGGCCCGCUUGGCGCACGUGUAGGCGUGCGACGCCACGCCGCCCAUGGCGGACGCCAGGCUCGACGUCCCGAUGAUGCACCCGCCGCGGCCCGCGGGCACCAUGACCCGGGCCGCGUGCUUCGUGCCCAGGAAGGGGCCGACCAGGUUCACCGACAGCACACGCUCGAAGUCCUCCUUGGUGCUCUCCCGGAUGCUGUGGCACGCCGCGCCGCCGAUGCCCGCGUUGUUGAACAUGAUGUCCAGCUUCCCGAACCUGGCCACGGCGUGGUCCACGGCCGCGGCCACGUCCGGCUCGCUCGUCACGUCGCACCGAAUGUAGCUGGACGCCGCCUCGCCCAGCUCCGCGCAGAGGCGAGCCCCGGCCUCGUCCUGGAUGUCGGCCACCACCACGCUGGCGCCGUGCUGCACGAACAGCCGCGCCGUGCACUCGCCGAUGCCGCUCGCGCCGCCCGUGAUCAGCGCCACCUUGCCCUCCAGCCUGCAACAUACUCUCACAUGACAAAUUAACCAAGAUUGCCAAGUAGUUCGACACGCGGUACGAAAGUAACGGAACGAAAUACGCUUACUUCUUUGCAGCGGCGGCAGAAGCGUCGGAGCUGCUUGCCAUGGCUACCUUCAAAGAAGAUUUUCUCCUAUGUUCUGCCGUGAGAUAAGUGCUCGUGACUUAGUUCAGUUCUAGCUCGUGUGUAGUCUGAGAACUUUAUACUAGUAGUACGGUAUAGCUGCUAAUCCACUGAUCGAGUACCUAGGAAGUUUACCUUUCAAGUCGUAUAUUUCGUAAUUAAAAUACGUAGUAUUAGCUAGUAGAUGGGCAUCUCCAGGUUUCAAGAUUCGUCCCAUGGAAUCGGCAGGGCGCCUUGGACGUACGCUUCGAAGUGGCAGUAGGUGCGGUAACGACAACGGUGGCCGGCCUGCCGUACGUAGGUACGCCCGCCGUCGUUUUCUCCUAUGCCUGGCGACGGCGUUACGUACGAUCAGGUCAGAGUAAAACGGAUAUACAGAUGCAUGCGAAUUGGCUUGUGCGUGCGUGCGCAAUUGGCCAUUGGCCGACGCCCGUCGAAAGAUAGUUUUUUUAAACCGUUUUGCUAUACAACAUGCGUCUGGUUUUUUCUGAAAUUCCAGUCGAUUUCUAGGCCGUCGAUUAGUGCGUCAAGAUUCGAGUCAAAUUUCAGUUCGGUCCCUUUUUUCUCUUGGCUCGGGGACAGGUUUUUGUCCUCUCCGCUUCCUCUGCUUUCUGACGACGGAGUUUCCUGGAGGGCGAGAGGAAGAGGGGAAUGGUGAAUCUGAGGCGACGUUUUGCUCGAUGCUUGCGGAGCUCUUUCGCGCCGCCUAUUCCGGUGAUUUCCCGGCGUUUCUACCCCUCGCCGACCAUGUUUCUGUGGCUCGGUAGCUCGCUGAAUUUUUUGGGUCUUAUCGGUGGCUCGGCUGUGGCGGAGACGGCAGAGGCGAGGUGGGUGGUUCUAUCAUUUUGCUUCGUCGGCGGUGAGGUCUAGCCGGCUGACCGGUGAGUUUGCUCCUUCUAUUUCACUCGUUCGGUUCGUUUUGCUCUCUGGUGAUUUGGAAUGGAUGAUUUGCUCCCCCUUUUGGUGGCUCGGAACGGACUUGGCGAUGCGAUGUUCCGUGCUUGUCGGCGACGACGUCUGCUCGUGCCAGUCAAGGGGGCGGGGUGAGGUGGAGAGCUGAUUUUCCCGUCGUUGCCGGCGGUGGAGAUUUGCUCGCCGGAAAACCGCUGUGAGCUUCCCCCUUCUCACUCGUUCCUCUCUAAUGGCUUUUAGCUGUUCUCUGUCUUGCGUUUCGCCGUUGAGGGGGGGGGGGGCUGGAUUUGGUGAGGAUAAGAAAGUACAGGAGAGGCGAGGGUUCCGUGCUCGGCGACGGUGUUGCUUGCGGUCAGUUGUUGCCGUUGUUUUUACCCGGGAGAGUGGAGAGGUGGAGUGGCCAUUCGCUGCUUGUGAGUGGAUUUGUGAGGUGAACUCAGUACACAGGAGGCGUUUUUGCUGCUUGUGUGCUCGUCACCGGCGAGGUUUUGGUCUGGGGUUGGGGCGGCGCUCCUUUUGAACUUUUGCUGUUGUUUUACCGCUGAUUUUUGCUCUCCCUGUCGGUGAUCUGUGUAGGUAAAGACUAGAUGCUCAUUAAUUAGAACGGAAUUUGCAUCUAUUUUCGUCAUCGACGGCUUAGGAGGGUCACCACCUCGCAGUAAGCGCGGUGCUAAUUACGUCUCCAUUUAUCUGGGCUGUUGUAUCUUCCUCUGUUCUGGUUUAUUUGGUCCCAUCAGCAAGAACGGAACAGCAGGUAUCUGCAGUAUGACAAAGCGUCUUUGGUGAUUUUCAUCCCCAUGGUUUUGAUGCCAACAGUGAUAGUGUCUUUUGUGAAUGUGAUUGUUGCCUGGAUGCAGUAGGGUGUAGGUGGGGUUUGAUAUUCAGUUCAGUUUAAUAUGGUUAUGUGUUCCUGUUACCUGGACUUGUAUUGUCUGAAGCAUGGUUUGACAGUCAUAUCAUGUGCUUUGAUAGAAGUGUUAUGCCCUUUACCCCAAGGGCAAAGUUUGAUGAGUUCUUCUUUUUCUCAGUUUGAUCUGUAAUUUUUGGGCCACAUCUUUUGUGUUGGCUUUUUUAUUUUCCUUUCACUUAUUUUCAAUGCUGCAAUUCCAGUAUCCCCUAAUAGCAAUUGCAGCUUAUUACCAAUUCUGUGAAGAUAUGGUCAUUGGACCGAAGUAGGAGCCCAUAAGAAUCUCAGAGUUCAAGCCCUGUGCAGAAAAUAGCCCAUUAGUGAAUUUGGAGCGUUUUGGGACAUUGCUUGAAUGGUCUUCGGGAAAGUGUCUGGAAUUUUCCCCAAUUCCAUUCGAUUUGAACUAGGACAAAUCUGGGCCAUCGGAUGAUUUUUGCACCUUGUAUAUGUUCAAACGAUAGUUCUCUUUUACAAUUUCAAGUCGUAGAGAAUUUUGUUGAAAUUGCAAUAAAUUUGUAUGGGCUUCGCACCCUGUAGCUGUACAAAUUAAUCGCGUCUCUUUUUAAUUUUUUCAUUUGAAGGGGAUAUUAGUUGAAAUUGCAUCCAAAUUAUAUGGUUUUUGCACCCCGUAGCUGUGCAAAUUGCAGCUAUGCAUUUCCAAUCUUAUUUUUUGCAAAGCUUUUUUUAGAAAUGCAUCUGCAAUCUUGGGUGGUUUUUAUCCUUUAAAUUUUAUUUCUGGUUUUAGCUCGCAAGUUCUGGUGGUUGCCGGCCACUCGCAGGUAAGGAUCAUGCACUCUUAUGCAGGUAGCGGGCCACUCAUUAUAGGGCUGCUUCUCAAUUUUUGUGCUUCUUAAUUACUUAAUUCAAUCUAUUUUUGCUGUGUUCAAAGGGCUGUUAAAAUCACAGAGAUGCCCCCACCUACUCACAUUUUCCCCUGCUGCUUAUCUUCCAGGUUUGAUGCCGAUUCCCCCUCUUCUUGUUUUGCCCUUUUUCCCCAGCCCUACUUUCUUUUUGAUUCACCAUUCCCCUUCCCCCCUUUUUGAACUUGUCACGAGCUACUACAUGAGUUAGCUAGCAGCUAGCAUUUGGCAUUUUUUAGGCUGUUCAUUUGAAUUUUGUUUUCUGUUCUUUGUGAUUGGAUCUGUAAGUUUUUGUCUGUGUCAUCUAGAUCUGUAUUUCACAUAUUGGUUUGGCUCACAUAUAUGUGAGUGUGCCAUUUAGGUUUUGUUACAGAUAAUUCUAAGUAAACCUUACGCAUUUUUUUGAAGCUUUUGCUGGCGCAUUACAGAUAGUUGCAGCUUCUAUAAUAUCAAAUUCAAAUUCAAAUUCAAAAUGCAUUGAAGAUUUUUGUGUUGCAACUAUAUCCUUUUAAUUAUGAAUUUCAUUGCACUUUUCUUUACAGUGCAAUCUAAAUUAUAAACAGGUGUAGCUGCAUCAUGGGUUUAAAUCCAUUGCAUAAAAUCUAUAUGGAUUUUGUAACUAUAGCUUCCAAAUUUGCAGUUCUUGCAAAUGCAAUUUCUGCUAAUUUAAUUGGAUUGCAUUUCAUACCUGCAGCUAUCCAGAUUUUACACUCCAGCUUUGAAAUCGCACCUGUAGCUAUCCAGAUCGUGAAGUCCAGAUUGGAGGCCUUUUUCAUGCCCAUUUUGCAAUCAUAUUGUAUUGUUUGAGAAUUAGUGGGUGGACUCAUGAAUAGCCCCAGCCCAAUCCUGAAUAGACCCAGGUACACAUUUUUUGCCCUGUCGUGUUACCUUUUUCUUGCACGUACAAAUGAAUUCUAAACAAAUUCUGUAGUGGCUUUUUUGAGCCAUUUCCUGCACCUUGUUCAGUUAGUUAUGGGUAACUUACUGCAUGUAGCACACACUAUGCGCAAUUCAAUGUCUUAUAUAUGAGAUGCAUUUGCAUUUGUUUGUCUACUGUUAAUGAUAGGUACAAAGUGCAAUUCUCCAGAUUUUAAUUAUCACAAUGCUUGUCCCAUUCUGAUCUUUUUUUCUCAAUUGCACUUAAUUCACUAUGCGCAAUCGGAUGUCAUACAAAAUGCAAUUGCAUCUAUCCCUGAUAUAGCAAACCUGUAAUUUGGCGUUCGCUUUUUUGUCGAUUCCUUGUUCUUGUCGAGAGGAUGGAAGCUUUUUUUGGAUUCUUUUGUCUGAAUUUGUCCUAGUAUCAAAUUGCAAAAAUCUGUAGAUCAAGGCACUUUGAGUUCAUUCCAUGGUUUUUGUCACCCAGCUAGGCUAGUGUUGUUUUUAUCUGGCAUGCGGGGGGCAAUAUCUAUAGGGUAUGAUGGUUAGAUGGUUCUUGUUAUGCUGGCUAAAAAGUUUCGCAAGGGAAGCUAGAGCCCCACUUGAAUCACUAAUAAAAAGGUACACUUUUUUUGACCUGUUGUGUAUGCUUUUUAUAAACAUUUUUGUUCACAGCAAGAUCAAUUGCAUGUAGUUUAUUUUGCGCAGUCUGGCACAUAAUUAGAUGCAAUUGCAGCAGCUCCUUUCUUGAAUUGCAUCCCCAUAUUUUUGGGAUACUUUUGUCCCUUUUUUUGGUCUGCGCAACCUGGUACUCAAUCUGGUCCCAUUCUUUGUUUGUAAAUACUGAAUAUCAAGUGCACUUUGAAGGUUUUAAUCAACACAAAAAAUUGCCUAUUCUGAUCAUUUUUAAUUGAACGUAGUUCAUUGCACUAGUUCACCAUGCGCAAUCGGUUGUCAUACGAAACGCAAUUGCAUUUGUAUUUGACUGGAAUUGCAAACCUGUAAGUUGGCAUCCCUUUUUCCUGUCAUUUCUUUGUUCUUUUCCAGAGGAUGGAAGCUUUUUUGAGUUCUUUUUUGUCUUAAUUUGUCACUGAGUAGUCACAGUGUGUCUUAUCCAAAGAGCAUAAAUCUGGUUAUGGGUCGAUCAGGCCACUGUUCUGUGCUAGUGUUUUCAUUUCUUUAUGUGCCUAGUUUGCAUCAAACUAUCAGGCGACUGUUUUCUUCUGUUUUUCUAGGCGCCUGGUUUCUUCCAUCCUGUUGGGGUCACAAAGCAGGCGCCUGUUUUGGUAUCCAAAAACAGGCGCCUGUUGUAUAGACAGACCCCUGCUUUGACAAGCUUUGCCCGGCGCCGGUGGCCCGUGUUUGGGUCGUUCAAAUGCUUGUUGCGGCCGCAUUCAAAGACCUAUUUAUAACUUUUAUUACUUUCAAGACUCGUUGUAUGAUAAUAGAUGAUCGGACCUUUAUGUAAAAAGAGGUUACGGGCUCCUUUUUUCUAGAAUCACCUGUAACUUUAUUCGAACUCAAAAAAUAUUUCAAGUAUAGUGCUUCGGAUCAUAGACACAAGAAAUUACAAAGUAACCCCUAUGACUACGAAUUACAAUGAAAUAUCUCGGAAACAUAUUCUCAAUGAUAUCAAUCUUUGCAACACGAAAUACUAUCCAUACUUCAGCAAAUGUCUUCAAUUAGACUGGAACGGCAACAUCGCCACUUGUACCAUGUACGAACUUGACUAUGAACAAAGGUUUCAAAAAGCCUCUUGAGUCGCUCAUCUAAAAAGAUGUGAAACCGUAAGCGUUGAAUGUAAUUGGGCCAGGGAUGAUCCCCUAAAGGUGCAUGUCGUUGAACCAUAAGAUCUUUACCAGAACCCUAGAGAAUGACUCCAAGCCACAAAGGAUCAGACCAACAAAAGCACCAUGACACACUGACAAGCACUCAUCAAAUCGAUAAGAACAAAUCUGCAAGGACAUAAACUCAAAAUCCGCAAGAUCGGUGACGAGGGAAUGACCCUUCGAGUCCUCAACCUUCAUAUACCUGAUACAGCCCAACAGGGGGUCCACUCGAAGGCCCAUCAAGUAUAUGCAGGUCGACUCCCUCGAGGAACGUAAUCUUGCUAUACCAGAAUGUACUGAUCUGAUUGUAACCUUUCGAUUAUCACGCCCGAGACCUAGCCGCCAGUAUAUAAGGCUAGGAGGGGGGAUCGGGAAUUGGCAUCCUCUACACACACGCCAGAUCUCAUCUGCGCACCAUAGCUUCAGAGCUUCCUUGUAACCUUGAUCAAUACAAUACACCAAAGCAGGACGUAGGGGUGUUACCUCCUCGAGGGCCCCGAACCUGGGUAAACCUUGUGUCCCCCCGUGUCCUUGUUAGUCGACAAGGUUGCUGGUGCAUCCCGUGAUCUCCUUAGUCGAAAACCCUCGAGUUUGGGUAUUUCCGAAGUGAAACUUCGUCAAUCGGACACACUGAAUCUACGGUGAGUAAAACUCUCUGGCCACGUGGCACUGCCUGAUAAGGUACUGCUAUAGCAGAGGAGGAAUCAUAGUAAAUUUAUUCUCAACGACAUCGCACCCUCCGUCUUAGCGUUGCCGAUGAAGACCACAUGACUCGUUAUACUAAAUAGUAAAUACUCUUGAAACGUUUAGUAGAACCCGUGGUUUCUCCCACCUCGCAGCGUCAAUAUGGAAACAAAGAUAACCGACGAAUCCUAAUGAUAGCGUUGUGCUCUAUCUCGAGACCCUAGUUUUCUCUCUGUAGCGGCAGCGGCGAGAGCGAGAUACAUAUCAGGUUGUGGGCUAUCGAUGCCCGUCCCCUCCUCCUAGCUGAAUCGGCAUUGGAGGUCAGAAGAACCGGUAGUUGCACACGGUGGUGUUUUAUUGUAGUCCAAACAUAUAAUGCCACACUCUCACAAAGAUAUAAUGGCACACAUCAUUAUGGGCCAAAUCCGGUGUACAAUUAGAGCCCAUUGAGGUUUUCAAGUCUUAUUUGCUUUUCCAGAACCAUGCAUGAAAAAAGGGUUUCAUAAAACGUUGCAUAUGGGGCACCGGGGUCAUUUUAUGAAACCCUCUUGUGAUCAGAGGUAUAUGAAUUUUCAUAGAAUACGUAUAAGUGAUUAGAUGUUCUAUCCUUCAUGUGAUCUGUUAAUUUUAAGUCUAAUGAUUAGGAUUAAAAAAUCAUUUAGUAGAGGUUUUCACGUCUAAUUCAUUUCUCUAAGAGGUAAACACGGACCACACGAAACCUCCUCCCGAAACUCCUCUCCCUAGAUCGCCACCCCCUCCCUCGCCGCCGAGCAAAGCCCGGGCAGCGACGGUGAUGGGGGGAGGGGGGGGCUAUCUCUGCUUUUUCUAACUUCUAAGUGCUGGGGAUUGGCGAGGCCGGCCAGAUCCGUCAUCUGCAGGGUUCAUCUAUGCUCCUUCGUCUGCCUGUUGUUGCUCCGAGAUGCCCUCAUGGUGGCGUUGUCGCGGAGGCGGCGCGGGCUGGACCUGGGGCCGGCGGGCAUGCCCUCGGCCCUGGAGGCGCGCGGGUCUGGCACGAGAGGCAGCUGACGAAGGGGUGACUUCAACAAUGUCCAAAUUGGUGAACUUGUAUUUAGGAAAGUUUUGAGUGUAUGUGUUGGCGAUCUCGUCGGCUAACAAGGAGAUAGGGGACACGAUUUACCCAGGUUCGGGGCCCUCGGAAGGUAAUACCCCUACGUCCUACUUGUCUAGAUUGUAUUGAUGAGUCGAUUACAAGGGAACCACGGGGGCUAGAUGCACAUAUUCGAUUUGGCGAGUACGUCUAGGCGGCUUCUAUGCUAGAUUGGUUGAUCUUAGCCCCCCCCCCUCCUGGUCCUUUAUAUAUGUAGGACCCCAGGUCUCAGGUAGAGUCCAAGUCGAAUACGAUGAAGAGAUAUACUCUAAUUAAGCUUCCUUAUCUUUGGUCGCAAUAUUAGGCAUAUGGACUUCUAGAGUCGUAGUAGGCUUUCUUGUGGGCCCCAGCUGGGCCGUGAUAGGCAUACUCGAGUCGAGUACGUGGUUAGUCAUAACCAAGUCAGCAGCAUUGCUGGGGGCGAUCAUGUCCCUGGCGACCGAAGGGUCGUUGGCCUGGGUGCGUUCCUCUCCGCGACGGGCGCGUUCUUCACGGCGGUCGUCUGGAUCUGUGACCUCAUGCCCGGAUCCGGCGCUUGGAAGCAUCCAGAGUUCGGUGGCUGAUGAUGGCGGCGCUCGCAGGUGUCGUUACCUUUUCGAAGGGGUCAUCGCAUCGACUCUCUCGCCUCCCGUCUAGCUGUUUCGGGGGGAACCCUAGAUCUGGGUCUCCUAGGUCGGAUGAUGGCGACAUUUUCGGUGUCGCUUUCCCUCUUGGGGGCAUCAUUUUGGAACAAGUGCUUCCUACUAGGGUUUGGUCCUGCUCGUCGAUGCCAGGUCUGUCAAUUUGCUUUGCUUCGAUCCUUGUCCCGAAGAUGGGUUGGUGGAAAACGGUGGCGACUUAUUCUGAAGCGUGAGCAGCGGCACACGCUAAGGAUUUGUUUGACCGGUUGUGUCCAGUGUGGCCUCUGGAUUUCGAUGUUUGGCGGUGAUGUGCGGUCAAGGCAUACGGCCAGAUAAUGGCCACCCCAUUCGUCAGGCUUGUAUGGAUAGAUGGUGGCUUUGGGUUGUUGGAUCGGUGUAUUCAUUUUGCCAGACUUGUUAAUAAAUCAAUAAAAUAUGGAUGUGUGCAUCAUUUUGAUGCAUGGCCGGAAUUUCAACUUCCUUUUUGAAAAAUGAAGAAAAAAAGUUCCAAUUCAUUUCUACUCCGUCCUGUCUGGUGCGAACUUAAGUUCCACCCACCCUGUCCGCACAAGAAAACUACGCUGGGCGCGGGCUCCCUGCUGUCGUGUCACAUGCUCCGUGUACUGUUGCAUGUGACGUAAGUAUGAAAUGCGAUCUUCGUGGCAAUUGGCAACUGUGCUACUGCUACCGCAGCCUCGCAUACCUGUGCAUAUCAUUCGUGCAAACAGUCGUGCUCUUGUUCCGUUCCUUUAAUUGCAGGUAGAAAAUCGGACCAUACAUUACUGGCUGCAUAUGGCUUAACCAUCUGCUAGAUUACCACGAUCAGCACACACUCGUACGUUACGGAGUACGUAUGAUUACCAAUAUAUGUGAUUCCACCGGUUUUCACUGAUCAUACAUGUGCCAUCCACCGGUUUUCACUGCAUAAGCGGCGAAUUUCUUACUUUAACCUGCCCGUCACGAUCACGCAUCCAACGGAACCGAGCAGUGUGCAGUGCGUGUACGUGCACAUAAAGCACUGCCACCAACCAUGGCCCGUGGACGGCCAUAACAGUGUGCUCCAUGUACAACACACAACUACACGGAAUAAUAAACUUCCCAGCACAGCCAGGCAAUCAGUCGCACGUAGUGACGUAGACGUACGUACACUUCGCUGCAGGUCUGACGUACGUACACUCCGCCUUUUCGCAGCAGCGAGCGAGAACCGAUCGGAAACACAGCGCAGUGUCCGUACCCCCGGCCGGCGCGGGCUUUACCGAGACGUGCACGCGCGUCCCAUCCUUCCGCGCCUGGUCUGCCGCUGCCGGCCUGACGCUCGUCCAUCAUCGGGAGCUGUGCUGUGCUGGGCACGCCGUGCCGUGCCAUGCCGGACUGCCGGCUGCUAGGAGUGUCAUGUCAUGCAUGUGACGUGUGGUUACCUCGCUGGUCCCUGCAGGCCGGUGUACUCCGAAGGAGACGAAAGAGAGCUACCAUGACUCGCACACUCACGCCAAAGCUACCACAGCGGCAGCCGACGGUCGUCACUCAACUCACAUCACAAGGUUUCGAGUCAAACUGUACUAGCAGUAGUACGUGUUUUGUUUACUCUGCGAGUAAAUUCUUGGAUACAUCGCCUCGUUUUUACGGUUCCCAAUAACCGUACUAGCACUAUGGUUAAGAAAAUGUCAUGUGCAUUUCACUGGCACGCACAUGCGCCAACGUGACUGUACAGGGGAUUCAGGAUCAGGAUGAAUGAGUGAAGCCAUAAAACAGAUGGACGCAAAAGGGAUCAGCGAAUUCACAAGUUUCUCUUUUUGAUCUUUUCCAAUUCAAGGCAUAGGCGCCGUCACGACUCACGAGCACAUAAAAUUAUCCAAAAACAGUUCAAUUUCCACGGUAACCGGGAAACGAUUCCCCAACUAGAGCUGAAUUACAAAUGCAGGAGCCAGGAGUCAACUAUAGCUUAAUCCAUGGCACAUUUCACACCUUUCACUUCAGGAGCAGCUUCUUGAGGCCGAGGACAUAGAUGAGCAAGAAAGGACGAGAAAUUUCAGGGGGGUACAAUUCAAGGAGGAGAUGGAUGGUUGACUUGAUCUCGCAGCUGCAAACCGAUAUUGGAGCUAACUCGUCGCCAUCGUGCCCGAUGCGGACAAUGCGGCCAUCGUCGACAUGUUGCCGUUCGUCCCGUUGUUGCCGGCCGCGCGGUUGUGGUGCGCGGACAUGAUGGUCUUGCUGGACGCGGAGCUCGUCGGCCUCAGCGCCCUCAUGGGGCUCGCGAGCGCCCACGCCCAGCUCCGGUGGCUCCGCGCACCAGGAACCCUCGAGCCGCCGCCGGAGCCGGAGCCGGAGCCACCGUUGGCCGCGGAGAGCCAGUAGGAGGAUGACGCCGGGGGCGCAGCGCCGCCGAAGAACCCGGCGCACUUGAUCCUGUGCUGCCGCGCGUACUCGUCGUAGUCUUCGUCGCCGUCGCCGGCGCCGGCGCCGCCCAGGUGGUGGCCGAGCGCUCCCUUGGGCUUGGGCUCGCGGUGGGACUCGACGCGGCGGAGCGCGCAGUCGCCGAAGCCGGUGGAGAGGCGCUCCAGAAAGUCCCCCGAGAAGCUGCGGCUGCCGCACCCCACGGAGCGCGACCGGGCCACCUUCCUCCCGAACGACGACGAAGAGCCCGAGCCCUCGCUGCGGCGGCUCGGGCUCUGGUCGGCCGGCUCCUCUAUCGCCUCCAGCCUCCGCCCCAGCGACGCCGACGCUGCCGACGCCACCGACACCGACUUCCUCCUCGCGGACGAUGGCGCGCCCUGUUCCCCACUGGCCAGAGAUGACGACGCGCUCCGGUGGCUGCUGGAAGACGAGGAGUAGAGGAAGGACCAGAAGCUCUUCUUGCGUGGGCUGUCAGCGUUGAUAGAAGACGGAUUGGAUGCGAGCGGCGGUUCCUCUGGCCGCGGCGCCACGGACUUGCUCCUCCUGAGCCCGCUGGCAGCCGACGCGGCCUUGUGCAACGGGAUCGGCAUGCCAGAGGUCGCAGAAGCUUGGAGAGGCACCGGCGGCUCAGAGGACGGCGGGGUGACGGAGGAAGGCGGCGGAUGGAAGGGGCUGGACUUGGACGAGGAGACCAGCAUGCCGAGCUUCUCCUGCAGGCAGAAGGCGCAGAUGCCACUCCCGCCGAGAGCAACCCCUGCGGCCGCGGCCGCGCCGGGCGGGUAGGGGUGCUCGCUGCAGUACGCCACGUCUUGAUCCCCCGCGACGGCGCCUGCAACCGCUGCCACAGGCGCCGCCGCCGCAGUCUCCGCCGCUUUCUCCUCCAUUCUCGAUCUUGGUCUUCUUGGUACCUGGACACGAGCAGAUGAGCUACUCGAGUUGUCGAUCUCGAUCUGCCGCCGUUGCCGCUGCUGCUUUGUGGGCGAACGUGGAGGCGCGCGGAAGGGGGAGGAGAGGCGGAUCGGGAGCUUGGGGAAUGGAGGGCACGGGCGCGCAAGCGGAUGCGGUGGCAGGGGAGAGCAUCAGAGGAGGCAGAGGCGGCGUGGUGGGAUGCCCUGCUCCGUCCUGACUGCCGCGCCUUAUUUUAGCGCACUCCCGCCCGCCUGUUUCUUUUUGUCCGGCUCGUGCGGCUCGGAGGCCGCGGUCAGGAGAGCACGUGGGGGUGUGGUAGUGCACUGGCAACUGGUGUUGCAUCUCUGCGCGGGUGGCUCCACGCUCCAGGCCACGCUGCCUCGCUCAGCGCACCCACCACGAUCCGUCCACUCCAGCCGUAACGGAUCUUUACGCGGUCGCAAAAUUACGGUGUUUUUCUUUUCGGGGUGAUCCAAAUUACGGUGAUACCGGUGCCAAUGGAUGUCCGCACGUGUAAUGCACGUGUCAUGCCCCUACCCACACCACAUGAACAGAUUUUUCUUUUCUUAUAACAAACUAAUGUACUGCAGCAGAGCAAUUUUUCUUUGUAGAAAAACGACGUUGGAUCUCCGGAGACAAUUCAACAGGGUGAGACAAUGUUUGACGAUGAAAUUCGCUCGAAGCUUCAUACAUGAGUUCGAACUUUUUUUGGGGUUCCGGGAAAUUUUGCUAGGUUUUGAAAUUAUCCACGAAGCCGGUGAGAGUAGCUUUUCGGGAAAUCCCGUCCUAAAAGUCGUAAAGAGGAGGAUUUGUAUAAAAUUCUAUAUAUGUAUUCUAUACAAAUAUAACAAUGGAAGCCUAGUAAAUUGUUUAACAAGUUAGAUUGGACCGAUGUUUGAGAAUCGUGAGUUGAUUUGCCACGAAACUGAUUUUGUGGCAUUGUAAAUGACCUCUUUAAUUCAUUGGAUCUCCAUAUCGUGAGAACCGACGGAAUAUCCGUUGUUUUCUACAAUAAUUGAAAACACAAAUAUGGAACAGAAAUAUCUUGGUGGUUUUGAAGGGAGAAAUCGAUUUUUCUUUAUGGAUUAGAUGUAUCUUAGUUUAUGUGGACACGGAGAAAAAGGAAUGGAUUAAAAUUAGUAAAAUAAAUUCUUUGACGUUGAGUGUUAAAUUGAUUCAUACAAAAAGUAUAAAGCAUUCUAAUCCUACAAAUGAGGGGCCUCUUCUCAUGGAGAUUGCAAUGCGUGUACAUGCAAAGCAAAGGAUUGGGAAACACAUACUCCAUUAACUUAACUUUCUGAAUUGCAGAACAAUUGUUUGAACACAUCACGUGCUUUUGAUUUCUGUAGAUUCAACAUGCCAUAACAUCCUAUUCAUGCAAUCUUGCAAAUAGAAGAGGCCCUCGGUGGAUUAAAUUUCCUGCAUAUUUCAUUUGGAACAGGUACCCUUUGCAGCAAUCCGCUGAAUCAAAAUGCGCUACAUUAACCAAAUUCAUUGGGAAUUGAACCCCCAGCCCCCAUGUUUCCUUUGUUUACCUCUGAAUCAAAGAGGUCCUAAACAAACUCUAUAGAAAAUAAAUUCCAAUAAUUGAUAUCUUUCAAAAUUCAUUUGGAUUAUUAUGACUCGAAGAUGCCUUCAAAUACUGAAUUUGUCUACUCUUUGAUUCGCGAGAUUCUGAAAACAUAUGAACACUACAUGAAUGUAUUUGCAAAAUUUAUGGCAAGAAGAAAAUGCAUGUGCCAAACAAAGAACAUACAUUUUGAAGACUUUAGGUGUUUUAUUCACGUGAAUAGAAAAAACACAAAAUUAAGUCUCAAUAAAUAUAGAUGAAUUAAAAUCAAGCCACAGGAAAAGUAGGAUUAGGGCGUUGGUGUGCUACUAGAAACCCUUUUCUCAUUUUUCCUGCGCAUGAACUCUUAAAAAGUUCCCAUUGACUUGCAAAAUUCUUGCGGUUUUUCCGUUGAAAUUUCCUAACGUCUCUCUGUUUUGCAUUGCUCUCAGUGAGACACAUGAAUACCAGGGACUGAUGAAUACCGCCACUUCACAAUUUUUUUGUGUCCUUUUUCUACGGAUCAAAGAGGCCGUAAAACGUCGCUGUUGUUGUACUGGCAUGCUUCCAUUUUUUAGUGCAACAAAUGUGGCCGGCCGGGUUUCCGCCGUUCCAAGAGGAAAGAGCUAGCUGCUGGCCUGCCACCGUAGAUCUAGGAGAUAAUAUUUGGGCCGUUGGCCGUUCCAUGCUGUUUGCACGGAUCAGGGGCAUGAUUCCUGGUUAAACAUCAACUCGAUCCAUAGCUGGUUGGUAUAGCCAAGAGUCUAUCGGCAUCAGCCGAUGCACUUGCAUUUGCCAGCAUGAGCCUGCAGCUAGUGAAUUUUUUUUCGAGGAUGCAGCUAGUGAUUUUGACUCGCCACAAUAUUGUUUUUUGCCGCACACAUAAAAAUCUCAAGUUUAAGUACGCUUGAUCUCCACUAUAGAGGAGCUACAUAGCAACAGGGUAGGUACGUGUAGGAGUAAGUUGCCACGAUCCCAUGAGGGCGACAGAUCAGAGGCUUCCUCUGUCGGUAGAAACGCCUCUUGCUAUCUUUGGUCAAACAUACGCAACUAAAUAAUCUUGGCUAGUUUUAUCUCUUGAUAGCCAUCCCAGGGUGGCAGGCAUGGCAGAUCCAUCGACCAAUCUGAUGUGUGUGGUACUACUGGCAGCAAUCGCAAGUGGUAACAUGUCCAGUCUUGGCUACCUCAACAAGCUGAUGGAUGGAUGGAUGGACGAUGGAUCAUCGGAGGAGCGAGUAAGUAAUUUCCGGUCGGCAGGUUGCAAUGCCAUGGACGUGGCGCGCACAUGCUUGGUUCCAUCAAAUCAAAGGCAUCUGUACUGUACCUUGUGCUAUAUAAGUAUAUAACCUCACCGGCGUUUUAUAGAGACGGUGCUAACACGCGGAGCAGAGUAGUAUAUGUACAAAGCUCUGGACCGGCCCAUGGCUCCAUGUACAUCGGGGGAAGGGACCACUUCAUAUGGAGUUUGUCGUUCGUACAGAGCCCGCUCCUUCUCGCCACUAUCCGCUGCCGGCCUGCCGCGGCAACACUUGCACAUACGUGCGGUACGUGCCGGCAGCCAUUAUGCUCUCUAGGCUUUUUGUGCGCACGCACGCACGCCGGAUCCUGCGUCCGGCCACGCACCCUUCCCGGUGCAACCUUUCUUUUGGAUCUUGGCAGUGAUCUUGCAUUCCUGGCUCCGUUUCAGGUGACAUCGGCAUAAAAGUAAGCAGAGAGAGGUCAGACGACCAUUUUGAAUUCAAUUCAAUUCGAUGGUCUGACAUGGUUAAGGGGUAAUAAUAUCUCUCUCUGCUACAGGAGAAGAUUAAUGAUGAUGAUGGUGAUGGCUAAUCACGUGCGCACGUUUGAGCACGAGUAGUGCUGGUUUGAAGCCGGCUCAAGAAAAAUUAUCUUAGAUUGGAACUAUUGGUUGCACUUACAGUUUUCUACGACAAAUUAUAUCUGCUCCCAUCAUUUAAUCAUUUAGGUCUGAAAUAUAAGAAUUCAUGUUAGAUUCCAGAAACCUAUAUCUAGCCGCCAAUUCCUAAAAUGCAUCGUUUCUCUGGAUCAUCUGUCUUCUACAUAUUCAUGUGACAGACAAAAAAUAAUUUACGUAUCCGCAAUUCAAAUUCAUCCAAAUGAAAUUUGAUUUCGUUUCAUUUCUACCAAAUACGAUGAGUGCUACCAAACAAGCGGUUAGUGUAAUCAAGUCAAAGUUAAGUCUAAAAUUUCAUGAAGAACUACAAAAACAAUCAAGAGCAUUGACACGAGGCACAUCUAUCAUCUAGAAACAUUUAUAUUUUUACACAUCAAGGCAAAACAGAAAAAGAAAAGAAGCAAUGGUUAAUUUGUAGUGUGGACAUUUUCUUGUGUCCACAAAAACAAACAUGAGAUGAAUAGACAUAUGAGUAAAUAAUUUGAGAUUAGAGUCUUCCCCGAUGAAACGAUGGACGGAAGUCUUGGUGUCGUGGACUUGAGGUUGGGUUUUGGGGUGUCGAGCAACUAUAGCGAAACGGUAUGUAAGACCGCGAGGCCAAUGCUUCGUUUAUUCGCCAUUGAUAGUUAAAGACCGGGCUAGGCUAGUCACUUAUUAUGAUUGAGUUUUUGCGGCACCCCCUCACUUGCUUUGAUCCUGGCCUCUUGGGUUGUUCGAUUAUCGGGUUUUUUAGAAACACGGUACAAACGCAGACGUUCACAACAUGCCCGUACACUCAUCCCUAUGAACGCACGCACGCACACCCUACCCAUAUGAGCACCUCCGAAAGACUGAGCAGGCAGAUAUUAAGAGACUGGCGAAGUCAUCGCAGGCGCCUCGCUGUUGACGGGUACGUCACCUACCACUGAAAAUGUGACACCCAUAUCAAGUCUAGGACUUGAACCUGGGUUGGCCGGUUCCAUCACAUGGAACGAUACCACCUGAGCUAGGCUCAGUUCACGGGUUGUUUGGUUAUCUUCCUGUGAGGGAUUCAGAGGUCUCGUUUUGUUUGUUGCUCUUGCAUCGUGAGCUCUCGUGAGCUUUGGUGUGCCUGCUCACGAGCACUUGUGGCGCUUCAACCUCGGUCAUAUGUUCAUGCAUUGUGCUACGUCAAGGUUGGCUAGGGAUCCGUUGUGGUUGUUAGUAGCAAGGAAGGUUUUGUUUUUCUUUCCUUCUAUAAACGUUUGUAAAUGUUGGUAGUUCACAUCAUCUUGUAUGAUUAAUAUUAUGUUCAUUGAAUAUAGAUUUUCUCCUAAUAAGCCCUAAUUUCAAAUAUGUUUUCAUUUCGGUGUAUCUAGCAGCUCCGUGAAUUUGAAUUUCCAGACACAAUUAAUCUUAUCUUGGCUACGUUCUUUUUGACUUCUGGGUCUAGCUUCUCAAGGUCGGAUAGAUUUCCUAGAGAAGUCUCCCCAGCUUCCUAGAGAAGCCGGCCACCAAAUCUGGAUAGAUUUCCUGUGGAAGCUAAAAUAUCUUGAAAACUUGACCGAGGUUCGGAUUCUCUAAAAAGCCGGAGGAAGACAAUUUUCUAGACAAGCCUCGAAAAUAACCGGGCCAAGAUCUUCUGUUUUGGUGGGCAAGGAUUGGAUCUGAAGUAUUUUGCAUUUCAAUAUUUUUUUUCCUAAUGAUAUGGAUUCCCUCUAUACGCGGAUGUAAAUGCACUAGGAUUUCCUCCAUAUUCUUAAGCAUCUAGUACCACCGUAUCAGAGGCAUUUUCCCACAAUUCUAACUAACUAUAAUUGCUUAUUUUAAUGUGCAACUCUUCGGGAGAAGGUGCAGGUGUAUCUGUUUUUCUUACCUGCUAAGAAGUCAUCAUUGUUGCCGCUAGAGAAGAAUGCAAAUCUUAGAAACAAGAUCUGACAUGCUAUCUAACACUUCGCCAUUAACUUUUCUAGUUGUUUCAGUGAUAAUAGAGAGAGUACAAGAUACAAUAUCACUCCCUCUGUUUCUUAAUGUCUAUACAUUUUGUAGUUCUCCUGAUUUCAACUUUAUGAAUUUUAUCUGAGCUUGUAAAAAGUGUAACACCAAAUAACUAUAAGAUAAAAUACAUUUUGUAGGUCUGACAUGCUAUCUAACACCAAGUAUACGGGGUACCAAUGAUGGUACAAUGCGUAAACUAAGACAUAUACGACGGCCUUGUAAUGAAAGUCAUCGUAUAUUUGGACAAACUUGACAUGUCGAUGUUUUUUGCAUAUGUUUGGUUGAACCUGCGGCUGCGACUUAAUCUUAUGUAAGGAAAGGCUUCGCAGGGGCCGUUAGCUGAAGUGCUUGGAUCGUGGGUCUAUCCAAUCCACUUAGCGAGAGUUCCGCCGGAGCCAUAUCGGAUUUGGACUGACGUGGUUCUUCCAAGUAGCGAGUCUAUGAUACCUUUCGAAAAAUAA
This 72021-nucleotide long non-coding RNA is filed under the name Brachypodium distachyon (stiff brome). Lineage: Eukaryota; Viridiplantae; Streptophyta; Magnoliopsida; Poales; Poaceae. The record is from RNAcentral.